GCAAGACCAUUGUUUAAAUAAUGGUAGCAUGAAGCCUUUAGUUCGCCGAGUUCAGUCACGGGAACUUGUAACCCAAGUGGGGGCAUCAAGGUGGGCGGAUGUUGGUUCGGUUGAGCAGGUAGGGCCUGAUGGGGUUAAAUGCUGGCCUGCCCGUUCCAAGUUGGGAGAUGAGUCUCGACAUCCGGGCGAAAGCCUGGGUGGCGUGGCUCCUAGAGUUGGAGGAAACCGCGUGAGUCUGGUUUCACAGAGCAGCGUCCACCUCCCGCUCCCGUCGGUGGAAGGACAACUGGCCGGUGCUCCACAGGUCCAACAACGCCUCCUCAGCCGCUCACAAUCUGACAUCCACCUUUUUUGUAAUUUCGUUUUCAAUUUUAAUCUCCAUUUGCAUUUUAAUUUCCUCUUUAUUAUAUUUGCAAGAUUUUACUCAGCAUUUUUUCAGUCAUUGUAGACAUUCCACUUGACAUCUGCUAAAGUCACCAUCCCAUAGUUUUCAAUUAGUCAAGAAUGUAACAUUUCUUUAUGGUGAACAAGAGGUUAAACUCAAAUGCUUGACAAUCUUAUCUUCUUGAUUCCAAAAUUUAGGCAACAGUCCCAUUUGGUUGCAUCUGGCAAGGUUUUUCUUCUUAAGCACAAACAAUCUUUCUUGGGUAUCCAACUGGAAGACUUUCUUGACUUCAUAAAUACUUUGUUAGAAAUAGAGAUGGACACAAUUGAAUCUGAACGUGAUAUCUCAAAUGUCGUUUAGAUCUUUAGAAUAAAUUGAUAUGACUUGAACUAGAGUAAGCCAACAUGGUCAGGAGGUGGACCGGCAUUGAGAAGUUAGCACCUUGAACUGAUGUUCUCCUUAGGACUCACAUGCUGGAUUGCCCUGCUGUUCUUAUUGUCUUAAUAACUAGACAUGUCCAACCACAAUUAUUAACAUGUGUAAAAGACUGUCAACCUGUAUCGGUUUGAAUUUUUAUACCUCUAUUUUAAUUCUUGGAAACUUGUGGAUUCUUUCUCAAAUGACAUCAUUAUGAAAUGAAGCGAAACAACACAUUAAAAACGGGAUUGUUCUUUUUCCUUCCUGGAAGACCCCAAGUUGUUUUAUGAGAAAUGAAGGUUAUGAAGAGGGUUGGAGGGCAAGCAAACAUGAGAAAAAAUGUUGAAGGCCAUAACUUAAAGUUCAACAUGGGAAUUGAAGUUUAAAAUUUGACAUCAACACAUACUUUUAGUUUGAGGUGAAUUUGAAACACUUCUCAAAAUAAGUUUUGGGCAUGAAUCUCUUAAGGUCAAGAGUUCAAUGCUUCAAUUGACACACAAAUUGGAGUUGAAAUGAGGAAGUUAUGACCAUUUGAAAUCAACUAGGCAUUAUAGGUACUACUUUUGAAUUUGAAAUUGUGAAUUCGAAAUGGAACUUACCAUUUCAAAAUCAUGCAAAUAUCGAAUUUGGCCACUACCAAGUGAAGAGAUCCAACUUCCCAAUUUCGAAUUGGGCCACUAUUGUCUACCUUGAAACUUACAUUUUGGGUAUUUCACCAAAACCUAAGUGGGUCACGAACAAUAGAAAAUAAAAAAUAUGUUAAUUUUUUUUUGUUAUUUUUAGGUAAUUGUUUAGGAAAUAAGCAGCCGAUAGGAGUAUGUCCCGUGUUAAUUUUUAUCUUGACUAUAAAAACUCAAAUUUUAGGUUUCAUAAAAACCACUUAGAGAAUUCUUAAUGAUUCUUGAGAGAGAUAAGAAGACAUUAGAAGAUCUUGGUUGGUUUUCUUCUCUUUUAUUAAUAAAAUAUUGUUUCUAAUUUCUUUAAAUUCAAGAAUGGUUCUUUAUCUCUUUUUAUCGGAUUUGUAUGAAUGAAAACACACUCAUGAGAGGGCUAAAAAAACCAUCUUAGGGUAUGAAACAUGAAAACCUAAGAUUAGAGCUAUGAAAAAAUAAUAGGUGAAAUUGGACUUAAUAAUGAGUUAAAUAAAGAGUUGACAUUAACUUCAAAUUCAAAAUUCAUUCUAAUAUUAGUUUGAAUCAGGGAUGAUAUAACUGUCCUUUCUUUGAUACUAGGCAUUCUUGGUCCCAAUCCUUUGUUAUAUGAGAUUUUACUAAUCUACCCUAAUUCAAAUUUACACUACCUAGUAAAGGCCUAAAUUCAUAUUUCAUAUCCAUACAUUAUAUUUUAUUAUUAUAAAAUAUUUUUAGGAUAAAGUUAAAUUAUGUUUAAUUAUAAAUUUAUACACAAUUCAUUUAUUGUUAUAAUUAAAUUAUACUAAUUAAGAUGGGAAAAAUAGUAAUAAAAUGGUGGAUUUAUACAAGUAUAAUGAUUUUUAAAAAAAAUUAAAAUUGAACUUAUUUUAAAAUAAAGUCUUUAUUAUGUAAUUAAUAUUAGAAUUAUUAAAUAAAAAAUAUUUAAUUAAUUUUAUUCUUAUCAUUAAGAUUUUAAGGUUAAGACAAAGUAUUUAAUGAAGGUUUUGAUGCCUUAGUAGAAAAUAUUUAUAUCAACUUUCUAAAUAAAUAAUGGUUUAAAAAUAAUUGUUACAUUUAUAUAGAAAUAAAAGUAUUUUUUAUAUAAAUUUAACUAUAACAUGUGAGAUUAUAUGCUUAAAUAAAUAUUUAAUUACUUCACUUGAACACUAUAUUUUUAAAUACAAAUAAUAAUAAUAAUAAAAUAAAAUUACAAUAUAACUUACUUAAAAUAUCAAUUGAAGAAAUCAAUAAUUUUCAUUUGCAAUUUUAUAAGAAACAAAAUGCAAUUUGAAGUAGUGGAUGGGGAUGGAACUCCCAACUUACAAAUAUAUACAAAUUAUAAAUACACAUGGCUUUUCCGGGACUCGUGUGUGUUUACAAGAGAAAUUUGAAACAACAUCUCGCAAUCCCACAUCGCCAAGGGAAUGAGCAAAACCAUUUUUUAAAUAAGGGUGGCAGAAAGCCGUAAGAUCGCCGAGUUAAGUAACGAGAACUUGUUACCCGAGUGGGGGCAUUAAGGUGGGCGGAUGUUGGUUUGGUUGAGUGGGUAGGGCCUGAUGGGGUUAACUUGCUGGCCUGCCCGUUCCAAGGUGGGAGAUGUCUCUCGACACCCGAGCGAAGGCUUGGGUGGCGUGGGUCCUAGAGUGGAGUACACUGCGCGAGGCUGGAUUCACAGAGCAGCGUUCACCUCCCGCUCCCGUCGGUGGAAGGGAUAACAGGCCGGUGCUCCACAGGUCCAAUAACGCCUCCUCAGCCGCUCACAAUCUGACAUCCACCUUUUUUGUAAUUUCGUUUUUCGUUAUCAGUUAGGUAUUGCGGUAUCAUGAUUCAUGAAUUCAUAGUUUUGCUAAAAUAUUUCACAAAUAGACAAUUUUCUUAGACGGAGGGAGAAAUAAGUGUGAAAUUAUAAUUUUAAUUAAUUUAUGAAGAAUUAAUUGGUUAAAAGGAUGAUCCUAAAUUUAUGAAUCUAACAUCUCUUAUGUUUUUAUUUUAAAAUUAACAUAUUUUUUUAUAUAUAUAAAUAAUAUUUUUUAUUUCAAGUAUUUACAUGUAGAUUUUAAAAAAGAGCUAUUUUUACAAAGAAAACAAUAAGGGUAUUUUUGUCUAAAUGAGGUCAAAAUAGGAUGAAGGGUUAAAUUUCAAAAAUUGGGUUUUUAAGAACUUUUUUAAUCAAAUAACUCAUCUAUGAAGUACAAUACACAUACUCUUCCAAGUCGUCAUUGAAAAAUAAAAUUAUAUUCUACCUUCAAAGCUAUCAUUUUAAGAGACACUUUACAUAUAGUUUACCAUAUAAGAAGUUGGUUUUAAUAUAAAUCUUUUUUUUUUUAUAAAGAAAACAACCAUUUUUUUAUGAAAGAAAAGUAUAUAAAAAGUUGUUUCUUUAAAACACAACUUUAAUAUAAAUCAUUUAAGAAAAAUAUAUGAAAGUUGUUAUUUCAAAAAGCAAUUUAGGAGUAAAUUGAUUUUUUAUGAAAAUUGUUGUUCAUAAAAAGAGUUGUUUUCUAAAAACAAAAAAUGGUUUAUAUUAAAGUUGUCUUUUAAAUAAACAACUUUUUAGUGAAAAAAUUAUAUGGAAGGUAUAUUUUAAAAUGACAACUUUUAAUAUGGAAUGUAAUUGCAUUUUUUUUUAAAGUAAUUACACUUUUGAAAAGUGGUUUUACUAAAGAUUUUUUGAGUAUAAAUUUAAUUUUGAAUUUUUAAUAUAUAAAUAGUAUGAAAAGUGUGGAAGUUUUCUUUUGUACUUUUACUAUAACCUUUUUUAAGAUUUUUUUUUCAAUUUGCUGUAAAUGUAAAAAAAAAACCCAAAAAACGAGGUACACUAUGAGGGUGUUUGAUAAAACUUAAUACUUAUUACUUAAUGACUUGAGUUAACUUUAAGUUAAAUUAUACUGAAGUUGUUGAUUUAAAACUUAUUACUUAAUUUUUACUUUAAGUAUUAAGGCUAUUUAAUAAAAUUAACUUAAAGUUUAGGGAUUAAUACACUUUGCCCCUUUAACCUAUCCCGUGUUUUGCACAUUGUCCCUUUAGGUUUAAAAUCAAAUACAUUGCACCCCAUGCUUCUUAAAUUGUAGCACUUUGCCUUGAUUGUUGAACGAUGUUAGUUUUAGUGGAUGGAAAUGUCACGUGUUGUGCACGUGAUUGACAAAUGAAGAUUACAUCAAGAAAAUCCCAACCCUAAAAAAACCCCAAAUAGAGAGCUUCGUCUUCGUUUUUCAUUCAAAGCCCUAACCUAUCGAAGCUUUAAAAGCCCUAACAAAUCUGAAACCCUAGAAUAUAAGAAGUAGAGCUUUGUGAAGAAAUGCAACCACAAGAGUAAUAGAGGAUCCUCCUGUUCAUUGCUGUUGUGGUAAGGAGGCUCGUAUUAUAACAUUUUGGACUAAUUUAAAUCUAAUGAGAAGGUUUUUAGGAUACAAUAAACUUAAGGUAAUAAUGUAUUGAUUUCCAAAUUGAUUCUUAGUCAUUUGUUCUUUGUAGACAUCUUAUUAUUAUAUGUGUUCAAUUUUUGGUACAAAGAUAUGGAGGAUGUGGAUUCUUCAUGCUCUAAUGUGUGAUAGGUCGAAGCAAAUCAUUCCUAGAUUGUUGAAUGGUCUGAAGAAGAAAGAGAAUGGAGUAUUUGUUUAUCGAAAAAAGUUAAAUGCAUGUUUUGGUUGAUGAUCAUUCCAUGGACGAUUUGUUUGGUUCUUCUAGUUAUCAUGCUACAAAGAAAUGGUGUAAGUUCUUCUAGGCAAGCUUUGUACCUAGUGAUACUUGGAAAUUUGUAAAUCCAAUGAAGGCUCUCUCCCAACUUGGUUUAGUUUUGUAUUUUUUUUGUGAAUAAUUUGAAUAGAUGAGAAGUUGAGGUUGGGGCCUUGAUGGAAUUAAGCUAUGAAAUCCAUGUUUUGUAAUUAAUUGAAGGACAGUAUUUGAAUUACCAUUUUGUAGAAUUGGCACCGCGAAAACCUCAAUUGGGAUAUUUAAUGUAUAAUAGAUUUGGAUGUUAUUCUUAUUGUCAGCCACUUCUCAUUGUUUUCCUUAAUUAUAUGCAUGUUACUUAAAUGAAAUAAGGGUUAAUCAACAUAAAUCAUUUGGUGCAUUGGCAAAAACUGUCUAAAAAUUGUCCAAAUGAACAUAAAUAGAUUUGGAUCCUGCUUUCUAUAUGAGAAUCAGAGGUUCAAAAUAUUAGUAACAUGAUCAGAAGUGCAUUUAACAAGGCCUAAUAAAAACUAUCUAGCUUGAUGUUAAGAAUUAUGUACAGUUUAUUACUAACAUAACCUUGUUCAGAAGUGCCUAAGGACAAAAUAUUUUGGCAUGGUGUCUCAAGAUACUACCAAGGUUCUUUAUCCAAGCAAACACAUAACAAAAUGAAUAUCCCUGCUUCAUGAAAAAUGAAUAAACACCACCUGCUACAAAAAUGAAUACCCUUGCAUCAAAUGACCACCUAUAAUAGGUCAUCUAUUUAACACACAAAUUGUCAAUCCGUAUAAGUAACAUGAACAAACACAAAUAACUAAUAAACUGUCAUGCAUGUAUUAAUAAUUAUAUAAGAUUAUACUAUUCUUAUUAAUUAUGUAAAUAGUAUAACCUAUAAAAAGAGUCAGGUAUAUAAGUAGAACCUAUUACUAAAGCAGGGCAUUACAUGAUAUUACAAAAAAAAAAAAAAAAUGUUUUCUAUGUUGCCUAAAAUGUAUAAGCAUUCAACAAAAAUAGUAUCCUUCCUGACUAAGUAUUAUUCCCAUGCAAUCAAGCCUUUAUACACAUUCAUAAAAAAAAACCUAAUAUUUAUCCCACAAAAUAGAUUAAAAUCUGCCUUCAAAACAUGUUUGAUCAUAUUACUUUGUAAUGCUUGAGACUGCACUUGACUGUUGAGUUCCAUGUUCCAUCUAUGUUUCAUUUCAACCUCUCCCUAAUAUGCAAGUUCUUUUACUGUGACCUUGGUUGCAACAUGUUUAGCGCUUCAUCAUGAAAUAAGUCCUUGUCAUUGGCUUCAAAAAGUGUCCAUAAGCCCUUUUGUAUGCUACCACAUGAUAACAUGAAUGCACAAAAUCUUCUAGUUCCAUAUUCCUAUCAAAUAUAGCUAAGACUGCAUGUGGACAAGGGAUACCAAUUUAGUCUCAUCUUCUGCAUUUGCAUGUUUGAUUAUCAAGAUCGACAACAUAUCUAUCACCAUGCAUGCAAUUGAUUUCAAACUUCAAUUCACCAACCCAAGUAGGUAUGCGACUUGUUGCCUCAACCUUAUUCUUCUCCAAAAUCUUAUGGAUAUUCGAGCAUAACAAUUUCUGCCACUUACUCAUAUAAGACCCCCUUGCAUUCAUCAUUUGCAUCAAAUAUACCCUUAUGUCCUCGAGCAUACUCAAUAUUGGCUUUUGUCUUGCUUCAACAAGAGUAACAUUAAACGACUCACACAAAUUGUUGAGUAAUAGAUCAUCCUUAAAUGAUGUACUAAAAUGGGAUCUUGACCAAUUCACUACUGACUUGGAGGCUAACUAGUUGUAAGCAUUUCCAUCUUCUUCAUUCAUCCACUCCAUGUGUCUAUUAAAAGUAGGAACAUUAGAGGCAAUGGUUGCUUUCCAUACUCGAUUUUUCAAUGCUAGUCCUUUGAAAUUUUGCUUAAAAUUGUUAUACAAGUGCCUCAAGCAAUGUCUAUGCUCAAAGUUCGACAACAAUUUCUCAAUAGUAGGCACCAACCCCUACACAUACACACACAUACUUCAAUUUGUUAAACCAAUAAGUUUCUCAAUAACACACAUAAAUGAAAAGUAACGAUAGUGGCAGCUUUAAGGAGAUGAAUGCACAAUAGAAGGAAAUUCUGUAUGUAUGGACAACCCAUAAAAUCAUACAAAUAUCUACCAUUUUUUUUAUAUAUAAAUCAGCCCCUAAAAUUAGAACAAUAAAUUAAAUGUAUCUCAGAAUAAUACCUAUAAUUUAGACUAAUAAUUCCAAGACCCCAAUGUAACAUCAAUGUUUCAAGCAAUCAUUCAAUCACACAAAUCCAAAUAGUAAAAUACUAAACUAGAAAAGGAAGAGUGACAUUAUCAUGUUUAACACAAUUAAGUUUAUAAUAUUCUCUAAAAAAUACAUAAUACUUAACAAAUACUAAACUAUACCUUUUGCUUAUCACUAAUGAAAGCCCAAGGCUUGGAAUUGUUAAUGGAGAGGCCUUCAAUUAAUAACUCCAGAAACCAAGACCAACUAUCUUUGGACUCCACCUCUACAACAACAUAACAAAUAGGAAAGAUUUAGUUAUUUGGAUCAAUGUCAAUAGUUGUCAAUAGUUGCCCAAGGUGUGGUCUUUUAAUAUGGCAUCCAUUAAGACCAACCAAUCGUCUACACCCAAAUAAAAACCAUUUUUUGCAUGCAUCGAAGCAUAUAUAUAUAUAUAUAUAUCCUUUAAAACACGAGAUUGUCUUCAACCAAUUUUGUUUUCAAAAUCAUUGUAGACCCUGGAUUUGUUAUUCUCAUCUUAGCAUAAUAGUCUGGAAGUUUAGCAUAUUGGUCAAUAUACUUUCCUUAAAUUUGUUUCAGUGUCUUCCUCUUUAUUCUAUAUGUUUGACUAGGAGAUACCUCAUAUGCAAAUGAAUUUCUCAUUGUGUUCACGAAUGCUCCAAUAAAUAACUUCGGGUCGUUUCUAAAGUGGUUGACAUAUUUGUUACACAAGUACCUUGACAUGGCAUUAUCAUUUUUUUAAUAUCCUACUACAAGUAUGUUGUUCAUUAUAAAUCAUCACUUGAAAUGUUUUUUCAUCCCUAACUUCAGCUGCAUAAACUAUUGUGAACCCUAGAUUACUCUGUUCUCAUAUCCUGGAUCUCAUAGGGUGUAUGCAUCUAUCCUUAGGGCUAUCUAGAUCUAGCGCAAUAGAAAAAAAUGGUUUCAAAAACCAUUAAAGAAUAAAGAUCUAGAGAAAAACAUGUCCAUACUUGGAUCUGGAUGUUCCCAGAUCAAUUCCUUAUAGUGAAAAACAUGCCUAGAAAAAUUGGAGAAUCUCUCAUCAUGUUGUUACACGUGUGCGCGUCCCAUGCGAUUCUUGUGCGCAUGGCAUGUGUAUAUCAUGUGUGAAUCCUAUGCAUGCCACUUGUACGCAUCCCAUGCAAUUCUCGUGCAUGUGACUUGUGUGAUUCUAGUGCACUUCUCAUACACCCAAGAUCUUCCGCCUGGGGAUUCUUCCUUGUGUCUAGGCACUAAGAUGGUGGAGAUCUCAAGGGUGGAGACUAAGGUUUUCUCUCUUGACUAAAAAAGGAAAAUGACAAGACCUAGAAACCCUAACGCCUAAAAGGGUAUUUAUAGGUUUCUUAUUGAGCUUAAGUGACUUGAGCCCACCAUGGGCUUGGGUCACUUAAUCUAUCCUAAAAAGAUUGAUAAUUGAUUAAUUAACCAUAUAAGACCCUAAUUAAUCAAUUACCUCAAUCCAGACAUACCACUCACCUAUCCUUGUGUAACAUUGUGUAAUUACCAAAACGUCAUUAUGCACAAAAGUGACUAAAAACUCAUCCAACCCUUAUAAACCGUGUCAUCAAGGAAUAUAAACUCAGAGUGAGGACCAUUAGGACCAAUUGAAGUGCUAGCUCCCUCAAAAUCAAAUUUUAAAAUUGACUCAACAUCUCACUACAAAAAGUCAAUUGCACUCCAAUACCCUAUGUAUAUUACAACGAGACACCAAGUUCUCGAGUCCGUGACCUACUAUCCACUACAUACAAACUCCCCAUGAACUAGUAUCUAUAAUCUAACAAGGUAGUGUCAUCACAUAUCAAGAUUACUUCUCAAAUCCUUGAGUUACAGAUCCCACUUAUUAUGUAAUCAACUGACAUACUCUAACUCCAAGAAGCAUAUGUCAAAUUUCAUUAAGAGAAUUAAUGUGGUCACAGAUUUCAUGAUCACAUGUCUUUUGGAUCUCCCAAUGGAAUACACUGUCUCAAUUCCAUGAGAUAUCAUGGUGUCUUUAUUGAAAAUACUUGUUGUCACCAGUCUCCAUCAAUAAUGACCCAAUCCAUAUGGAUAUAUGACCACUUUAGGAUCUCACUUAUAGGUCAAAGUCUCCUAUUGAUUUUGGAACAUGCUCAAUAUCCUCAUAAGGUUGAGAGUCUAUGCAGUAUAGUAGCUUGAUGAACCAUAACAAUUUAUAAUCUUGUGCCAUGAUUCACCAUAGGUCUUAUCCAGUAUGUAUCACUUACACUAUUACACUCACCAUAAGAAACUCAUAUCGAUGGCCAAGAUAAGUCAUCUCUCUAAUUAGGAGGUGGUACACUACAGUCUCUACUGAAUUGCCCAAAUUCAUGAAUCAAUUAUGGACAACUUAUCUACUUACAAGGAACCCAUGACUUAUAUCUUCUAUGCAACUACUAAUGUACCCAAGUCAUGUACAAUGUAAGAUACAUGGAUUGAAUGUUCAAAUCAAUAUCAAUACACCAAAAUGAUAGUAAGAGGAUGGUUAAGUCUAACUUUGUUACAUUAUGUUUUGGUUUUAAAGGUUCAAUCCCAACAUAAACAACCUAAGGGCAUCCCUUUGAGCACACUACCCUUACUCUAUCCUUCUCAUUUUUAUGAACUUCACAUUUCUACCAUUCUUUCUGGCAUAUUCCUUCACGACAUCUCUAAACUCAGUUGCACAUGUGAAGCGUAGCCCCACACUAAACUCAAGAUUUGUCAUGUCUGUAUCACCCACAAAUUAAGGGUACCGAGGCUUAUCUCUAUUAAUUUCUUCCUCACUAUCGCUGCUUAAAUUCCUUAUAUCAUCAUCACAAAUGUUUUUCUCAUCCUCCACAUCAUUCAUUGUUAUGUAUUCCUCUUCAACUCUCUUCCAUUUAUCUUAUUUGCCUCUUACCCCAACCCACUCUUCAUUAGCAUCUACAUAAUUAUCAUACAAAUCAUCAUCAUCUCUAAUUGGAUAUCCAUCAUCAAUAAAGUCACCGUCUCCAUAUGAAUCUCUCUCAACUUCUUCAUAAUUUGAUCCACAUUUAUCUUCAUAUUGAGGUGUUUAAUCAACAUUAAGUUCUAGUUCUAUAUUGGUCGUACAAUCGUCACCUUCACACACACUUUCACCAAGCUAAUUGCAAACAUUUGAAGACACAAUCUCACUUUGAGGAAUAUGUAAAACCUCUCUAUGCUUGACAAACACUCCUACUUCCUUAUCCUUUGACAAUGAGCUGCACAUUUCUAAGACAUUUUCAUCUGUUAAGCACCAUAUUAAUUCUCCAUUAGUCUUAGCAUAAUAAUACCCCAUGCAAUCUUUAUAUCCUAAUUGAAACAACAUCUGAUCUAGCUCAAUCAAAUUCAUCAAAUCUUUGUCAAAAUUAUCAACAUAAUCCACUUUCUCACCCACAUAAUCACUCAUUUUUGGUACAGGUUCAGUAUUGCCCCUAAACUUCCCUCCCUAAUGUAGUUUGAUAGUAAAAUAGUCUGAAUGACAAUUUGCAAACAUAACCCAACAUAAUUCAUAUUACAUAAAUUGAUGAAUGUAAGGUUGAAAAUGAAAAAAAUAAAAAAUAAAAAAUGUAAUACCAAACUGGAGAUAAACACAUUUGAAAAUAAAAAUUCAUAGCUAUGAAAAGGAAACCCUAAACAUCUUAAAUUUAUUUUUCCCAAAUUUUGUUAGUUAUCAAAACAAAACCCUAACCUUAAACACUCAAAAUUUCAUCAGUUAUUUUCUUAGCCAUUAAAAAAUAAAAAAAUUGAAGCAAAACAUUAGAAGAAAAAUGAAAUUUACUGUUAAAAUCCAUUUCAAUCGAACUCUUAGCCCUUCAAUGUCUGCAUUAAGUCCUAAGAGCUAUUUGGGGCUUUUUGGAUUUUGAUGGGUUAGAGAUUCAAACAAAGACGAAGCCUAAGAGCUAUUUGGGGCUUUUUUGAGGUUAGGAUUUUCCAGAUCUACCCUUCAUUAGUCAGUCACAUGCACAACACGUGACAUUUUCGUCCACUAAAAUUAACACCGUCCAACGAUCAAGGUAAAGUGUUGCAAUUUAAGAAGUAAGGGGUGCAAUGUGUUCAAUUUUAAACCUAAAGGGGCAAUGUAUAAAAACACGGAAUAGGUUGAUGGAACAAAGUGUAUUAAACCCUAAAAUUUAUCAUAAAUCAUCAAAUUGACAUAUUUAUCCUCAUAAAUUAUAAUUACGGUAAAAGAUGUCGAGUAACAAUGGAGAUUGUGGAAUAGAAAAAAAUAUUGUGGAGGUAAUUAGAGCAAAUAUAGAUAAAAAGGUAAAAUAAAAAUAUGACUUAAAAAUAAGUUAAUUGUUUUUACUGAUUAUUUAAUGUUAUUUUUUAUUUUAAGUCAUAUCAUUAAGUUAUUUUAUUAAAUAUACUUCAUUUACUUAAUAACUUAAAUUAGGUUAUUAAUACACUUUAUGUUAUUAAGUUGAUUUAUUAAACACUCACUAUGUUUUUUACUUAUUAACCGUUAACUCUCUCAUGAAAUAUUAAAAAAUAACACAUUCUCUAAGGGUAUGUUUGAUUCCGAAAAAUACUUAGAAAAGAAAAAAAUAUUAAGGAAAGUAGUUUUCUUGUGUUUGAUUUCAUCGUGAAAAAAAUACUAAAAAAAUUCAAAUAUAAUUAAAAUUUAUCAAAAAUUUAUAUAUUUUUAUAUUAUUUAAUUUUUAUAUAGUUGAGAGAAUUAAGGAAAAUUAAUUUUAAGAAACAUAAAAAAUAAUUUAUUGAAUUUAAACUUAAUUUUUAUUCUCUUCCUUUUUUUUUUCUUCUUCUAUUUUUCCUCCCUAUUUUCUUUUUAUUCUUAGAAAUUCUUCAUUCAAAGCCAUUUGCAUAAUGUCCUUUUUCUUGAACACUCACGUUCUGGUAAUUGUUCUUGAUUUGAUCGCCUUCAUAUGCUAAAGGUUAAGGGAUUUUUAAAUGUUGUCCAUGGUGAUGAGAUCUAGGAAUAUUUUUCUUUUUCAACUUUCUCCAGGUCUUUGAAUAUAUUUUCUUUUUGAAGGGCACCUAUGUGUUUUGUUUGUGAAUAUUCCUAAGCAUGCCGAUAAGAUCUAAGAUUGUCUCCUUUAGAGUUCACGAUGUCCCUUUGUCUUCAGCAAAUUGGUUUAUGUACGAGAUUUCUAGGAAAUUUCUGCUGUAGACGAUGAGACGCAACAUAGAUAAGGGGCUCCUGGUGGUUGUAGCUGCAACCACCACUGCUCAUUUCAUCAAGUUGUGGCAGUGGAAUGGCAGAGAAAUUGGGUGCUGCUGGAUUCAUUAUCUGCUCCAAAUGGCCAAGAAUGUUGAUUUUGUCACCCCUUCACAAGGGUGAGUUCACCCACUAUGGCAUUGAAACUAGAUUGAUUGUAAAUUCAAUUUUGUAUUUUAAUAUAUGACUAGUAUGAAAAUUAUGGAAGUUUUCUUUUACACUUUUACUAUUACCCUUUUUAAGAUUUUUUUUUUUUUUCAAUUCGAUGUAAAUGUAAAAAAAAACUACUAUAAGGUGUUUGGUAAAACUUAAUACUUAUUACUUAAUAAUUUAAAUUGACUUUAAGUUAAAUUAUACUAAGUUAUUGACUUGAAACUUAUUACUUAAUUUUUACUUUAAGUAUUAAAGUUAUUUAAUAAAAUUAACUUAAAAUUUAUUAUAAAUCAUUAAAUUGACAUAUUUAUUAUCAUAAGCUAUAACUAAGGUAAAGGAGGUUGAGUAACAAUGGAGGUCAUGGAGUAGCAAAAAUAUCAUGGAGGUAAUUAGGACAAAUACGAAUAAAAAGAUAAAAUGAAAAUAUGGACUUAACAAUAAGUUAAUUGUUUUUACUUAUUACUUAAUACUAUUUUUUAUUUUUAGUCAUAUCAUUAAGAUAUUUUAUCAAAUAUACUUAAUUUACUUAAUAACUUGAAUUAAUUUAUUAAGUCGGUUAACCAAACACCUGCAAUGUUUUCUACUUAUUACUGCUUAUUAGUGGUUAACUCUCUCAUGAAGCAUUAAAUGAGACAUUCUCUAAAUAUAUUCUUAGAAAUUCUUCAUUCAAAGCCAAUUUGCAUAAUGUCCUUUUUCUUAAACACUCAUGUUCUGGUAAUUGUUCUUGAUUUGAUCGCCUUCAUAUACUAAAGGUGAAGGGAUUUUUAAAUGUUUCCAUGGUGAUGAGAUCUAGGAAUAUUGUCUUUUUCAACUUUCUCCAGGUCUUUGAAUAUAUUUUCUAUUUGAAGGGCACAUAUGUGUUUUGUUUGAGUAUUCCUAAGCAUGGAGAUGAGAUCUAGGAUUGUUUCCUUUAGAGUUUAUGAAGUCCCUUUGUCUUCAACAAAUUGGUUUGUGUGAGAUUUCUAGGAAAUUUCUGCUACAGACAAUGAAACACAAGAUAGAUAAUGGACUUCUGGUGGUUGUAGCUGCAACCACCAUUGCCCAUUUCAUCAAGUUGUGGCAGUGGAAUGGCAGAGAAAUUGGGUUCUGCUGGAUUCAUUAUCUGCUCCAAAUAGCCAGGAAUUUUUAUUUUGUCACAUUUCACAAGGGUGAGUUCCCCCACUGUGGCAUUGAAACUAGAUUGAUUGAUAUAUGGUUUUUCUUUUUCAUUUUCAUUUUAUUUUUGUAUUUUUUUUGUUAGUUAUAUAGUUCAUUUCAUAAUUUUGUUUCAUUCAUUGUGAUUUUGGACUUUACAUGCUUUAAUUAUGAUUUUCAUUGUCUAUGAAUACGGUUCUCCGCAAAUCAACCUGGAAUGAUACAAGUAAUUAUUGAUGAGUUAGACAUAGAGUAGACUUAUAUGAAAAUCGAAAAUAUGAUUAAUUUGGGAAUGAAUUUUAAUUGAAUAUCAUAUAAUAGGGAAAAGGAAACUGAUUGUGAAAAAGUAAAAAAAAUAAAACUUUAUAUAGGAGUGCUCAAGCACCACAAAUGCUCAAGCUGUCCUAAAGACGUUCAAGUGCUGUUAAGGGCUGCUUAAGUGCCUAGAGCGCUUGAGCACCCUUGAGAGGCACUCAAGUGUUUGAAGCUUAGAUAAUAAAACAUUUUUUAAGAAAAUUACCAUUUCUAACUUCUAUCCAUGUGUAUAUAUAUGUGUGUGCCUUAUAUUAUGUGGUUUUUUAAGCAUCUUAAGCAUUAGGUCAUCAUCCUUUGCGUUUAACCGGACAAUCUCAAAAGAUCUUUGGUUCAUGAGUUUGUGGUAAAGGAUUACAUCCUGCUAAGGUGUUUGGGAAUCCACUAAGGAGCAUAGAGGUAUUGCAUCGUAGAUGUGAGAGUAGGUAUAGGUAUUAACAGUGUCAAUUACGAAGUCUGUGUACCUAUUUCUUCAAACUUAGUGGCGUAUAGCUUUACAAUAUCUGAUGAUCCUGUGUUUUUUAUAUCCACAAAGUCUCUGGGAGACUUUGUAAGUUGUUUUCCAGUAAAGCACUUGUGUAUUUGUGCGGUUGAACUUCUUGGAUUAAUUAAUAACUAACAACUUAAUAAAAGAAUUCAUAAAAAAAUUAAAAUGUGAUUUUUUGGGCUAAAUUAAAAAGGACUACCUAUUCACACCUAUCUAGGUAGUUCAACGGUACAGGAUCUCAAACUUUCAUUUUCCUCAUCAGAGAUUUUAGCAUGAUGAAACACAAUGUGAAAUGUGAAAUCCCUUUUGGAAAACUAAGUUGAAAACUCUUUUAAUGGGCAUACUCAGAAGUACUCUUCUUCAAACUAGGAUUAACAAAAAGGAGGAUUUGGGAUGGGCAGCCCCUAUUCGAAUGUCCCCAAUGGAAGCAGAACCCAUCCCAACCAACUUUUAGCAUGGCAAUGUUAGAAAAUUAAUAACAUGAUAUGGGGCCACGAGGGAUGGGAAUGGGACAAAAGAAAAGAAAGAGUGAGAUGACACACCACAUGAAAACUAGAAUUCAUCCAUAAGAAAACUUAGAUCUUAUUUAACUCCAAAAAAGAUAAGCAAAUAAAAAUUCAAAAUUCUUGGAGUUUUUAGUUAAGAAAAUGAUAAGGUAUGAAAAAAAAAACACAUUAAUACGUUAAGAGUAAGAAACAACAAGGAGUAUAUUAAACGAAGCAGGGUGUUAACCAACUAAUCAAUUAGUUAAAACCAUAAUGGAUCAAGUUAUCAUAUGUUACUUUCAUGCAAAAAGGUUUUACAGAGCACUUUUACUAAUGUUGCCUCUAUUUUGUUUGUGUGCAUGUUUGCUUCACUCUUUGAGGAAACAGGACAAUGUGUUCCAUGGUCAAAACUAUGCCCUCAUUCCGUUCAUGCUUUCCAGAGGCAAGAUCUACAGAUUGUAGCCCUUUACCGCAUAUAAGUCAUGCAGCACAACCACUGCCAUCACUACCAGAAGCUGCCUCAAGUAACCAGCACUUUACAUUUCAACCUGAUGUCGUAAUAGACAUUCCCACUGCAUAUGGAUAUUAUAUAAGUAAUGUACCAAAUGAACGUCCUGGUGUUAGUAACCAAGGCCGGGAUGAAUAUGGAAGUUCACCUCUUGCUGCUGCUGUGCAUUCAGGUUAAUUUCUAGUACAUUCUUGAAAUUUUUUGAAUGAUCUUUACUCCAAUUUAAGCUUAUGAAAAUCCCUUUUGGGCAUUUGGUACCAUUGUUCUUUUGAAUGUGGAAGCAUGCAUGUUUGUUUAUGCAAAUGGUUCUAGUUUUUUUGUGGAGCAGGAUACUUGUUUACUUUCUGAUCACCAAUUGGACAUAUUGGAAAGAUUGGUUGUCCUUCUUUGUCUUUGCCAUUCAAUAUAAAAAUGUUCUUUGUUUAAAAGAUGGUGACUUUCUCUGCAGUAAGAAUAGUCUCGAAAUCUGCAGGUAGCUUUAGAAAAGCCUAUGUCUGGGGUAAAAUUGUGCCUCUCUUUUUCUUCAUAGCCAGUGGCUGCACUUUUCUGAUCUGUUGCAAGCUUAAGGCUCUUGAAUCUCAAAUGAUGAGAUGAAUUGUAAGAGAUUGUCUUCUAUGCUUGAAAUGUUUGGAUUUUCCAUAUGCUUUUGGUAACCCUCCUCUUAUUCUUUUAUGUAUCUCCAAGCUGCUGUCUGUGGCCUCAUUUUGCAUGUUUAAUCUGUUUGAGCUUUUAAGUCCUCUGUAUAUCAACUGUCAAGUGGUUGUCCUUUUACCAUUGGGAAUCAUCAGCAUUUCUUUCAGGUUUAACAUCCCAGCUGGGCCCUGAUGUUUGAAUUAUGGCAGGGGAAGUUAGCAGUGGUUUCAGGACUUAUGCUCCUCUGUAUCUUGCUGCACUCAGUGGUGACUGGGAUGUUGCCGAGAGAAUCUUUGAGUCAGAUCAUCAGGCUGUGAGAGCAAGGAUCACAAGGGCUCAAGAGACACCUCUUCACAUUGCAGCUGGGGCUAGACACCUAACCUUUGUUGAGAACUUAGUAAGGAUGAUGACCCCAGCUGACCUGGCACUACGGAACAAAGUUGGAAACACAGCCCUAUGUUUCGCUGCUGUAUCUGGUGUGACAAAAAUUGCAGAAGUGAUGGUAAACAAGAAUAACAGAUUGCCACUGAUCCGAGGUAGUGAAGGAGCAACACCUCUCCAUAUGGCUACUUUGUUGGGCCACAGAGAGAUGGUUUGGUAUCUUUAUAAUAAGACAGAUAGCAACCGUCUAACAGAUAGCAACCGUCUAACAGAUGAAGAUCAUCAUGGGCUUCUUAUUGCGGCUAUCACUUCUGAUCUAUUUGGCAAGUAUCAAUUUUCCGUUUAUCUAUGAACCAUUUAGAUAGGCAUUUACAUUCAAUAUUUUGUAUGAAUAGAAUCAUUAGAAUAUGAAUGCUGUUUGUGAUACUUCCUACUGAGAGGAUGUAAAUGGCUUCAAACUUUUGUCAUUCCCUAUUUUUUUUUUCUGACAUUACUUAUAUUGAUCUUGGUAACUAGUUUCAUACUUCAAAAAUUUUGUGCAUCAUCAUAUUUAAGCACAUAGAAUUGUUGCUGCAUUAAGCAUCUCAUGGGACUGGAUGCAUGAUGAUGAUGAUGGUUAAUAAUUGUUUACUAAUAUGCAGAUGUAGCCUUGAAGAUAGUUCAGAAACAUCCUAAAAUAGCUACAGCUCGAGGGAGAAAUGGAGAGACUGCUCUUCAUAUACUGGCCCGGAAGCCUUCAGCAUAUCAGAGUGGAAGUCAGCUAGGAUUUCUGCAGAGAUGCAUUUAUGCAUGUUAGUAUAUUCAUUUUUCGUUUCUGAUCACCAUCCUACAGUUUCCCAAUUAGUUAAUAAUGUACCAAUUUUUUUUUCCAUGAACAAGAGGUUAAACUCAGAUGCUCGACAAUCUUAUCCUCUUGAUUCCAAGGUAUUUCUUUUCUUUAAUUAUUAAGGAUAAGCACAAAGAAUCUUUCUUAUGACCAUGACAUGUCCCAACAAUAUGUGACAAGGCAUGGCCACAGGCUUGAUGCAUGCCAUGACUCUUGACACGGCGCAUGCUAAGCAACUGGAAGACCUUCAUGACUUCAUAAAUACUUUGUUAUAAGUAUAGGUGGACAAAAUUGAAUCUGAACAUAAAAUCUAAAUACUUAAAGUAUGUCAAAUGUUAUUUAGUCACAAGGUGGACUGGCAUUGAGAAAUUAGCACCUUGAACUGAUGUUCUCCUUAUCUGAGCCAGCUUGUUUUUCUGCCCUUAGGAUUCAUAUGCAGGACUGCCCUGCUGUUCUUAUUUUUUAAUAACUAGACACGGGCACCGACAAGUAUAACAUGUAUAAAAGGACUGUCAACGUGUAUUCUUUUGAAUUUUUAUACUUCUAUUUUAAUUCUUGAAAACUUGCAGAUGCGUUCUCAAAUGACUUAAAACUGCAUAGCUUCCAUUCAUCAUUAUGAAAUGAAGUGAAACAGCACAUUACAAAAUGGAUUGUUCUUUUUCUUUCCUGAAAGACCUCAUGUUUGUUAUAUAUCUAAAUGUUGCAUAAUCUGUUGAGUAAUGAUUUGUGACUUCUUUUUUUAUUUUAUAUUGCUUCAUUUUUUUUCUUGAAGGUCUUCAUGUGGAAUUGUCAGGCAACUCUUCUGUGAUCCAUAAAGGUGCUCUCCCUCACUCUCUCUCUCUCUCUCUCUCUCUCUGUGAGAAAUCUAUGCUAUUAAAAGCUAAAGUGCAAAUACCUUAGUUGUGCAUGAUUCUAAUUGUGGGUCCUUCAUAUGAUAAAGGUUGUAAGACUUUAUUUGGAUCAUAGAAAGUUUGAGGGAAAAGUUGUAAGAAAAGGAAAAAAAUAAGGGUGAAGGAAAGUCAACUUUAUUUUCUUAUCUUUCUUCAAUUCAUUCUUUUUAUACAGAAAAUGAAGAAUUUAAUUAUUUUUCUUCAUAUUUUCCAUGGAAAGUCAACAAAGAGAAAUGAGAUUAUGUCCUUUUUUCUUCGUUCUUUAUACCUUCUGAGAUUCAGAUGGAAGUAAAUUUGGUAAUAGAGGAAACUUAGUCAUCUUUUGUCUUUUUUUACUUGUGAUUGUAUUACGUGUUGAAUUACAAUUUUUUCCAAGUUUGACAAGUACAUGAGUGCAUUUGUAUUAUGUUUUUGAGUUUCUACUACAUUUAACAUACUAAGAUGUCUUUUAGUAUCUCCUACAAUUUUGUCUAAAAUUGCCAUAUUUAUAGCUAAUUACCAAAAUUAUUAUUAGAGAAAGACAGUUACUUAAGCAGCUUCAUGCCUUAAGAGGGGUAAGACACCAACCAGUUUCCUCAUUAAAGAUAGCAUAGAUAGGUAGCAUCUGAUUUUUGUUAUUAUUAUUAUUAAUUGUAUAACAAUUAAAAAGAAGAAAGCCAACUCUGCAACAGGACAAUGUGAAGCAGUUCUGGAUGGUCCAUUGUCACAAACCAGCUUUAACUCACUUUUUCAUUGUAUGAUCUUUCAAAGUCUGCUAAAUUAUUAUGGUGGUGUAUGAAUUAUUUUUGCUUCAUACAACAUGCAGUUCCCUUCAUCAAGGUAGUUUAUGACCAAAAAUUGAUGCAUAUUCAAGCCCUUGAGCUGGUGAAGUGCCUCUGGAGUGAAGUUCUUUUAAUGAAUGAGUUACAGGUUGGAGAACUGAUUAGAACACCUUCACGGUUAUUAUUUACUGCUGCAGAAUUGGGAAUCGUAGAGUUCUUAAUUGAGCUUAUUCAUGCAUAUCCUGAUCUUAUUUGGAAAGUUGAUACACAAAGUCGGAGCAUAUUUCAUAUUGCAGUUGUGCAUCGACAAGAAAAGGUUUUCAAUCUCAUACAUGAAAUAGGAGCACUCAAAGAUUUGAUAGCAUCUUAUAGAGAUGAAAACAAUAAUAAUAUGCUUCAUUUGGCUGGAAAACUUGCACCAUCAGAUCGACUCAAAACUGACUCUGGUGCAGCAUUGCAGUUGCGGCGAGAAUUACAUUGGUUUAAGGUAAAUAGUUUGUCUCUGUUUCUUUUUGUUUCUGAUAUUUGGCACUAUAGAUGGUCAAGACCACUAGAUUUUUUUGUCUAGAGAAAUUUCUCAUAUAUUUGAUAAGAAACAAACUAAUUCAUUAAUAUGAAUAUUUUGUACCAAUGAAGAAGGAGAAACCCUUGGAAAAUAUAUGAAAGCUGAUCAAAAGAAUAAAGAGAGUGAACUUCUUGAGUAGGAACAAUAGGAUAACUAUGCAACUUAAGAAUAUGAUACGAACUUUUGCAAGUUAUAGCCACUCUACACUCCACAAGAGGGUGAAAAAUCCCUGACAAAAGAAGCCUAAUUCUUGGUACCUUUUUUACCUAAAUGAUCAGCGACAUGAUUAGUUAAACUAACAGAGCAAGAAUAUGAACCGUCCAAAUUGCUAAAUUUGGCAAUGCCAUCCAUCAUACCUCUAAGGCCUAUCUCAAAUUUAGUCACUCAAGAUAUCAAAAUAGCAUAACCUCUUCCAUUCAUAAGUUAGAAAGACAAAGCCUUGCUAGUAGCAAACCUUCUAAAAGAGCCAAAAUCUUUUCCUCAAUGAUGAGCCAACAUUAUACCACUAUGGCGUCUGAUUGCACCUCAAUCCCAUCUGACCUGGGUUAUCCAUAGCACAUCCAUCAAAAUUUAACUUAAAUGAACCCAUAGGGGGCAGAAUCUAUAUAGAGGGAGAAAAUUCCAAUCUAAGUAUGUUGACCUACGUACUGGGUUCCAGUCAAGUUGUAGAACAUGAAGAAGAGUACCCUCGAGAGGUAUAGAAGUAGAUGCCUAGAAAGAAGAAAAAUAAAUCAUACCCCAUAUUGUCACCGAAUUCCUCCACUUUUCCUAAAAAAAUCUUUUAUCUCUUUUCCACCAAACUACUUGAAUCAUUGUGAGACAAAUAAUAUGCCAAAGUAAUCCACCCUUGAUUGUACUCCCAAACCCCUCACAAAAUAGUCAUCUUGUCACUCGCAUAGUUUGGAUAACCUAUGUUACGACCCCAAAUUCACUGGACAAUUACUUCUUGUUGCCAUAAAAGUCCUUUUUAUAUAAACAAGUGCUGAGGAAAACAUAUGAACUAUUCAUAUUCUACAAGAGAAACAAGCAUGAGACUAUUUCAUCUUUGUAUUCUGCUAGAUCCACCUACUCCAGUGUUUUCCUUCAUGUGUGCAUCACUAGUUUUCUCAAGGUGGGGAACAGAUGUGACAAAAAUGGAAUGGCAUUUAAAUCCAUCCAUAUUGCGUUUAUCCUAUUUCAGCAUUCUGAAAUGCCUAAUGAGAAAAAUUAUAUUAUUUUCAUUAUAAAUCUUGUAUGUUAUUUUAAAUUUGGUUUAAGUCUAUGCUUCUUCUUUAACAUGUAGGAAGUGGAAAAAAUUGUCCAACCAUUGUAUAGGGAAAUAAGAAACUCUGAAGGAAAAACUCCUCAGACUCUAUUCAUGGAGGAGCACAAGGUAUUAGUACGAGAAGGGGAAAAAUGGAUGAAAGACACUGCAGCAUCCUGCAUGCUCGUUGCAACACUCAUUGCGACUGUAAUGUUUGCUGCUUUUUUCACAGUUCCAGGCGGCGACAAUGGUAACACUGGCAUUCCUAUCUUUCUAAAAAGAAGGUCUUUCACAGUUUUUGCCGUAUCGGAUGCCCUGUCAUUUGUAUCCUCAGCCGCUUCAAUACUGAUGUUUCUCUCCAUCCUUACUUCACGCUAUGCUGAAGAAGAUUUCCUCCACUCACUACCUAAUAGGUUGACAAUUGGGCUUGGGACUUUAUUCAUCUCUGUAGCAACCAUGAUGAUAGCAUUUUGUGCUACCCUUUUUCUUGUUUUGGGCCAUGGACUUCAUCAGGCAAAAAUUCCAAUUGCUUUGGUUGCUUGCAUUCCUGUCAGCCUGUUUGCUUUACUACAAUUUCCCCUAUUUGCAGAUAUGGUCAGUUGCACCUAUGGCUCUAGAAUGUUUUUCGGUCCAAGUAGACAUUUGUUGCACUAGAUUGGAAUAACACGAGUUCUUGAUUGUAAACUGUAUGAUAUUUGAACUUUAUGACCAGGGCCAUGGAGGAAUAAUAUAUGUAUUAUUAUUCCCAAUUAUCAUAAUCUUUGUCUAAGCCUCAAGCAAUGGGCCUCAUAGGCUUGUUCAUGUACAAUCUAAAGUGGGAAUUACUUCAAAUUGCCCCCUGAAAUAAUAUCAGAUAGCCAGAUCUAUGACUUUCUGUUCAAGUUAAAAGAUUGAAGGUGGAAAUGGAUUCUUUCAGCCUGUAGCUUCUGUAGAGUGCUGCUUGAAAGCUCAGAUCAUGAUUCUUAGAUAUGCUUAGUAGUUGGCAGUACUUGUAUUUAACAGAAGGCUUGAAUUUGUGCAACUUGUUGGACCAGUUUCUCUUGUUCAACUGUGGUAAAAAGGAAAUCUGAUGAAAAUUCAAUAGACAUUUAUAUGUUUGGAAACUCCUUAUUUUCUCUUCAAAAAAGGGUCAAUGGUUCAAGUUAGUAUCUUACUUCUCUUCCCUUUCUCCUUCUUUAUCCUUUCCCUCACAGCUUCUAAGAAUCAAACAUAAUAUAAAGAUUGCUAGAAAAGGAAAUCGAGGAUAAAAAGGAAAAAGUGAUAAAUUGAGAAGUGCUCAUAGUGAAUAUUUAAUAUUUGGUAUCUUCAUCAUAGAGUGAAGAAGUUCAAUAACAUGAUGCAUAUAGAACUUUUUAGAAACCCUUAAGUAGGACAUGUUGUACAUUAGGAUUUUGUGGAGUCGUUAAAUGAAGCCAUACCGGUUGAAUUCUUCAAUUCCACUGCAGUUGGGCACAUAAUCGAUGGCAUUAUAUAGUCCCCAAGUGCUUUUUGAGGUGAGUUUAUGUGCAUAGAAAGGAAAUGCUAUUAUUGCAGACUUCUUGGCUGCUAUCCUUGCAUAUAUAGGCAUGUUCAGUAUGGGGGAGAAACUAGUAUUUUUGUGUUGGAAGGUGUCUCAAAUUUCUAAUUGGACUACAUUUCUUUUUGUAAAAGGAAUAUUAUAUAGAAUAUUUCUUAAGUUUAUGUGUGAUUGUAAUUAGAUUCCUUAUAAAUAUUCUAGGUCAUGAGGAGAAAAAGUUAUGAGAAAGAGCUGAGUUUGUGAGGACUAUAUCUGAUGGAUGAAGAUGUGAGGAAGAGUGAGAGAUACCUAGUGGAAUAAGAUGGCUCACUAGGGUGUGGAUGUGAGGAAGAGUGAAAGAUACCUGGUGGAGUAAAAGGGUUCGUGGUUUAGGAUGGAGAUACAAAGAGUGAGGAAGAGAAGCAAGUUUUGGAACCCAAUAAUUGAAUUUAUUUUUAUCUUUGGUAAUAUUCUCUCUCAUCCAUAAAGGUAGGCAUGAUUGGUGACGUCAAAAUCUCGUGUACCUUUAUAUGUGGAUUGCUUAAUUUUUUGUGUUCUUCCAUUAAUAUGCUUAUAUUGAAACUUCUGCAUACACAGCAUUUUGCAGCCCACUUUCCUUCUGUUGUUGCAUCUAUAAUGUAUGCUGGGGUGAUUUCUCCUAUGAUGAGCCCUUGUCAGUACUAAUAGUUAAGUUUGAUGUUUAAUCCACACUUGGCCUUUACUUUUUGCCUCUACUGUUUGAAGUAGUUCUAUUAUGCCCUCUUAAAUAGAGCCCUUCGAUUUCCAAAUGGAAAUAGAUUGUUUUUCUGUUUCUUUUUUAUUAGAUAUCCUGUCUUAGCAAUAGGGUGGUUUUUUUUUUUUUGGUUAAAUGAUAAGUUCUCCCAAUCAACUUAUUUCAUUUGCUUUUUCGGAGAUAUUUUGGCAUGUUAAUGCAAGUCUUUUUCCUCUUUCUUACCUUAUACAUACCUUAUACAAACUGUUGGAUAAUGUUCCCUCUGUUUGUUGAAGAAUCAAUCAGGUAAAGUCAUUCAGUUAAUUUGCAAAUAAUUUUUGUACUCAAAUUAAUUAUUGCCUCCCACAUUUCCCCUCCAGGGUCCAGCUCACAACCAGCUAGCAAAAGAGGUAUGUUAGAGAGAAAUGAUACUGGGAGUCCACUUAUGCAUUAAAUAAAUAUAUAUCAAAGCAGAGGGCCCCUCAAGAAUCUUUUAUAAGUUGGAGGGCUGAGAAAGCAUCCAAAGAAUAAGGCUUUUUCCUUUUCUUUUUAACACAUUUGGUCGCAGUGGGAAUCAUUCAUUGACUAGACUAAUGCUAAUGCUAGCUGCUGCUGCUUCAAACUCAAAGCAACAGAAGUUCUACAAAGUCUCAAUCUGAUCUAAUACCGAAGGUUUGGAAUCUCACCUGCCUCCUUUCUUUUAUCAAAUUCCAAGUGUUUUUUCUUCAGAUUUGUUCUAAAUUCCAAGAAAAUCUUAGAAAUUUCAACAAGAAAUGAUCCAGUGUCGAGAAAGGGUAUUUUUGAGAUAAGAUUGAUUAGAGUAAGGAGAAGUCAUAGAUCUUAUUUACUACAAGCAGAUGAUAGUCGACUGGUUAUUAGAUGAAGACGGUGACCUUGGACUUGGUAAAAUUUUUCUAGUUGGCCUGGGGGGCAUUGGGAAACCAAUAUUUACCUGUGUCUGGUUCAACCUGGAUCAAAGGAGCCAUUGCUUGAAAAAAAAAAUUUGCUUUUGUCGGAUGAUGUAUGGAACAGUACAACUAUCAACCGUUCAUUGACAUCAGAUCCUUUUGAAAUAGGAGCACAAGGAAGCAAAAUCACACUUAUUUGCAAGAGGUGAUCAAUUUUUUUUUAAAUUUAAAAAAAAUAAAAUCAUGAAUUGAAAUUGUAAGACUAAGAAGUCGUAAAAUAGAAGUAGUUAGGAAAAGAACUGCAAAGAUGUAUGGAUGGAGACAUGUCAAAUAGGAAGUUGUGGGAAUUGCUGCUGCAUAGCACUCUCUGCUUUGUUUUUGAUGUAUUGAAAUUGGAAAGAAGAAAUUAAUUGCUUUCAAGGAUGUAUGGAAAGGAUUCCUUUCGAAUUAGGAUGAAAGCCGGUGUUAUAAAGUUGGAUGGGAUGCCUUCACAGCCUUGUUUCCAGUAGCCAGGAAGACAUGGCACUUGACAAUAUUUCAUGAAGGUAACUUCUCUUUUCUGUGAUAUUUAAUAUUUGAUGCAUAGGUUAUAUUCUGAAGCGCUGAUCAUUAUACCUCUAAACUGAAUUUGCAGACAAAAAAAUGCAAGGGAAGAUGCUUCUUACAUGGAAAGAUUUUAAAGAGUGGGACGCUGGUAAUGAAAGAGGACCAAAGGAUUGAUGUUGUUUUGCUUAGUGAUUGAGCUACAGUUAUCUUCUGCCUUAGCUAUUGCAGAAGGCCUUCUUUGAAUUUCAAGGAUAUAAUAUAUAUGUACUCCACCAGGAAUUCUGCAGCCUCACUUCUUCAAGUGAAUGUAUUAACUCAUAAAGUGAAGUUUGAUCAUAAUUAAUCAAAUCAUGGAAGACGCAAAUAUUGUUUUUCCUAAAAAAUUUCCCGAAGUUUCUAGACAAUAAGACAGAUAUAUUGACCAUAGAAGUAUGGGACUUGUUUAAGAGCAUGACAUGCAUAUUGAGCCCAAAUCUUACAAGUUCUUUUAAAAAAAUAUGCAAUUUGCAUUUUUCCUAUUUGUUUGUUGGAUAUGAAUCCAAAUUAUGAUCUCUCUCUCCAAAUUUUGUUUGGCUCUCUAUGUAAGGGAUGGUGUUAAAGAACGUGAUAUGCAUAUUGAACUCAAAUCCUACUAACUUAAGGUUUAAAGAAAACCCUUUCUGGUGUUAGAGGCGCAUUGAGGUGAAAGUAAAGAAAUAUGUUAAAUAAGAAAAUGUUUGGUGAUUUUUUUAUAUAUAUAUAGAAAAUGACUUUUUGAGAAUUUGAUUUAAAAAUAAGAUGUUUUUAAAAAUAUAUUUUAAUUAUUAUUUUUUGUGUGCUUUUAGAUUUGUUUUAAAAAAGAAUUAUAUAAAAAUGAAAAAUGAUUGAAAAUAAAAUAUUACAAAUAAAAGUGAAAUUUAAAAAAUAUUUAAAAACUCAAGAAAUAGAUUAAAAAUAGUUCAAAUAGAUUUUUAUUUUUAAAAGCAUCAUAUAAUUAUUUUUUGAAUUUAUUCUCAAAAUUAUUUUUUACAAACUGUUUUCAAAAUAGAAAUAAAAUGAUAAUUUUAAAUAGUUCCUAAACUAAGACUAAGAACGCAUUUGAGAGUGAUUUUAAAAAAUAUUUUUAACAUUUCUAACACUUGAAUAAUAAAAAAUUUGUCGGUUUAACUCUAACUCCAAAGCACUAUUCGAAACUUGGUUUUGAUUAACCAAUGUCAAAGAUUGAUGUUCUCCAAACCAAAAACAACUAAAAAGAACAAGUAGCUAAUGGCACAGCAGCUUAGCCAAGCCCAUUGCGACUCCAUGGUGGUACUAAAUGAUCCAAAGGCCUAAGAUACCUAACCUAACUACUAUAUGACUUAUCCCAAGCUUAGCUGAAUCAAAAUGAUGAUAUUUUAUGAAUUUAAAAUUUUGAAAAAAAAACUUAUUUAAAGAAAAUAUAAAUUGAUAAAUGGUGAUUAACCAUGUAGAGAUGGGUUCACUCCUAAAUUCAAGGUCCAAAGUCUAUCAAUUUAUAGGAUAUCUGAAAGGAACAAUGAGUUAUUACUUUUAUAGUCAAAUAAGAGUACAUAUAUUAAUAAAUUUUUAUUAAAAAUUAUAAUGCAAUCUUUUGUUUUAUAAUUUAUUUCAUUGGUUUUCUUUUUAUACAUUAUUUAAAAGAAAAUUACUAUAUUUAGUUAUCCAAUGUUUGAAGAGAAAAUGGAAAAAAAUUGGUGAAUAAACUCCAUUUAAUUGGUUAUCCAUGGAAAUUUUAAAAGAAAUAAAAUUAAAUUAUCAACAAAUGCAUUUUCCCAAAAUUUUCUUAUUUCCUUUUACGAAAACAUCGAGGAAAAUAUUUUAAAAUUUUUCAUAAUGUUUUCAUUUUUUUUUUCUAUCUCAUUUUCAUGUCAUUCAAGCAUAUGAGAAUAGUGUUUUUUUAAAAUAAAAAAAUUAUCCCUUUUCUUAGUUUUUAGAGAACCCAAAAUACCUUAAAUAGUUUUUAUUAAAGAAACAAAAUAUUACGAUGAAGCAAAUAAAAUAGUUCACUAUUUUUUAUUGUUAACUAUUUGUGAAAUAUUUGUAGGAUAAAAUUAAAUUAUAUUUAAUUAUAAAUUUGAAUGUAAUUCGUUUAUUAUUUGUAAUCAAAUUAUAUUAAUUAAGUUGAAAAACAUUAUAACGACGUGCACCCAACCAUAUAGAUAUUGUAUGUUUUGAAUGUAAAGAAUUCUCACAACUUUAAAACACGUCUUCAUUGUUAAGAGGAGUUCAGAGCCAAAUGGAUAAACACCCAUCACAUAAUCAAACAAACUCUCACACUAGAGUUAGAGAUUGACUCCAACACUAUUUACAACGCCUCACAUCCAACCAUGUAGAUAUUAUUUGUUUUGAACCCAAAGGGCUCUCACAAUUUUAAAACACAUUUUCAUCAUUAAAAUAAGCUUAGAACCAGAUAGACAAAUAUCUCUCACAGUAUCAAACAAAUCCCCACACUAGAGUUAGAGAUUGACUCUCAUACCAUUUGUAACAACCCACAUCUAACCAUGUAAAUAUUGUUCGCUUUGAACCUAAAGAGGUCCUCACGACUUUAAAACACGUUUUCAAAGUUAAGAGGAAUUUAUAUUUACAUAACAUCAACAACUUUCUCCCUUAUCUGUUGUGGGAUAUCACAAAUAUAAUAAUAAAAAUUAUGGAUUUAUGAUAAGUAUAAUGAAUCUUUUUUUUUAAAAAAAUUAAAAGUGAACUUGUUUUAAAAUAAAGUCUUUAUUAUAUAAUUAAAAUUAGAAUUAUAAAUAAAAAAUUGUUUUACUAAAUUUUAUUCUUACCAUUAAGAUUUUAAAGUUAUGAGAAAGUAUUUAAUAAAUGUUUUGAUCCCCAUUCUUUCUAUAGCAUAAAAUAAUUACCAAAUAAAUUUUAAAAUAUUUAUGUCCACUUUCGAAAUAAAUGAUGAUUAAAAAAUAAUUGUUACAUUCAUAUAUAAUAAAAAAUGAUAAUAUUUUUUUAUAAUUUUAACAAUAACAUGUAAAAUUAUAUUAUUAAAUAAAUAUAUAUUUUUAUCUGAUGCAAUAUUAUGUAAAAAUAUUUUUUUUAAAAUUUAAAUGUAAGUUUAAAUUUUUUAAAAAUGAAUCAUUUUUAGAUUUUAGUUAUUUCUAUUGAAGCCUUACGUCACCGGGGCCACCGCAGUUGCCAGAUGGUCGCGCCUUUUCAACUGAAGAUGAUACCCGCUUCAAUCAACCUGCAAAAGACGUCCGGACAUGGGGUUCGGACACACCCUCCGAUGGUUUUGUUAGUCUUCUUUCUGAUAUUUAGUCUAUCCUCUUUUUUGGGGUAAGAAAGUUUACCUUCUUUCAUUGUAUGAAAGUCUUUUAUAGUGUUAGAAGCUCUGUCCUCUUUAAUGGUGGGAAGACUUUUUGGCUCGUCAUGAUGGUGCUGAGGUGGUAGCAGAGCCAUCAUUGUCCUGCAGGCGGCUGUCAGAAAUUGUGGAAGGGCUGACUCGCCAUCAUCCCUGUCUUUUAGCUCUGUAGGUGACGGGGUGUACGCUGUGACAGGUUGCCUGAAAUGACUCAGGAGAGUCCUGUCGAGCGUGCUUCUGACAAUGUAGACAAUGAUGGUCUACGUUUCACGACCCAGGUUUUUGGUUAAGACACUAGCACUGGGUCCGGACAAGAGAGUGGACUCGUCCGGGUGACAAGUUUAGGGAUGUCGUAUGCCCCCCUGAGGUAUUUCGGACAAAGAGUUGUCGUGCCACGUGUCCCAUGGAGGAAUGCUCUGUGGUGUCGCCACGUGUGCGUUUGGGGGUGGUCCCUACAAUUUCUAUUCUCAAAUGAUCAAAUUAAAUCCGGUCCUUAAACUUACGAAAAUGUCAAACAUUUUGGUCUUCCAUUAAUUCAAUGCAUAUAAUGUAAUAUUAAUGUAUUUUGUUACUUAAUAUUCGGUUUUAUCAAAAUACCACUUUAAAGUACAUUAAUGCAAUUUAAUGACAUUAUCCACCUAUUUUAUAAUAGGGGAAAUCAUAUAAUCAUACACCAAUUAAAAGAAUAUGAGAUUUUAGAACUUUACUUUUUCCUUUUAAUUUUAGUGUAAAAUGGGAAAUAAUACCAUCCAUUCAUGCAUUCCACUAGUGAUUUCAAAUUUGUUCCACAAUUACCUUAAAAGUAAAAGAUAAAAUACACACCAAUUUAAUAUCAUCCGUUGACAAAUACAUGUGCCAUUUAUUUUUAUUAUUUCUUACUUACCACUUGUCAUGUUCCCACCUUUUUGUUGUUUCAUUUUUUUCUUCUUUUUUUUCUCUCUUGCCACCAUAAUCCAUUAUCGCCUAUUAUAAUUUUUAUUAAUAUGUUUUCUUUUUUUCCUUUAUAUUCUUUCUAAUAUGAUCAUGUAUUUUCUCAUAAAACUUCUUUAAUUUUAUUUUUUCUUUACUCUCUAAUUUCUCCACAUUUAUUGAUUUUAAUUAUUUUUUGACAUAUUAAACUUAAAAUGAUAGUAUAUAAUAAAUAGUUAAUAUAAUAAAUUAAAUAAAAACAAAAAUAUAUAAUAGACAAAAAUGAAAAUAUUAUCCCACAAAGAAUAUACUUGAUGAUUUUAAAUAUUAAUUAUAAUAAUAUAUUUGAUAAAUUAAGGUUUAAAUUUAAAUUUUCUAUUUUUUUAUUUAGAAGUUUAUGAUAUAAGAUUUUUUUAUAUUAAUACUAAACAAAAGAUUUAUUUAUUUUGUAAAUUCUAUCACAUGUAAAAGUAAAAAUAUAUUUGUAAUACUAUUUUAUUAUUUACAUUAUUUUUCUUUUAAUUUUCAUUUUAAAUUUAUCAUAUCAAAAUCACAAUAAGUGAUGGUGCUUUUAUCAUUUUUUUAUGAUUUUAAUUUGGUUGUGGAUCUAACUUUUUGUUUGGUUAAAAUUUUUAAUUUUUAAUUUUUAAUUAAAAUAAAAUAUAAAAGAAAAUAUGUUUUUCAUAAAAAUAAAAAAAAUGUAUUUAACCUUUUAUAUUAAUUUCAUAAAAAAAAUAGGUACAUCCUUAAAAAAAAUAAAAAAUAAAAAUAAAAAAAAAGGUAAAUUCAUGCUUAGGGGAACCAAAACCACUAUCAUACUUAUCAUGGUGUAUAUAGUCCUUUAGGACCCUCAAUAAGUAAUCGAAGGUCCUCGCCCACCCCAAAACGAACUUUACAAUCCUAGGUAUAUCCAUUCUUAGAAUAACCAAGACCCAUAUCUCCAUUCUCAUGGUUCAUAUAUUCCUUUGGGGACCCUCGAGAAGGAAUUUGAGGUUGUUCCCCACCCUGGAACGAACAUUGGAACCCAAGGUACAUCCUAAAAAUAAUUCGGUACAUCAUUUACAAAAUUUGGUACAUCUUUCACAAAAUUUGGCACAUUUUUAAAAUAAUUUGGUACAUUCAAUCCAUAAGCUACUAGGACCUCUAUAUUGUUACCCAUGGUUCGUUUAUUUCUUUAGUGAUCUUUAAGAAGUAAUUAAAGGUCGUUCCCUACUUUGAAACCCUAAGUACUUCUUUAAGGAAAUUUGGUAAACCGUUAAGAAAUUUUGGUACAAUCAAUCCUUAGGCUAUCGAGACCCUUAACUAUCUUCUCAUGGUCCAUAUUAUCCUUUGAGGACCCUCAGGUAGUGAUUAGAGGUCAUUUCCCACCUUGGAACAAACAUUGGCACUCUUGGUACAUCCUUUACAAAAUUUGAUACAUCAUUUACAAAAUUUGGCACAUCCUUCACAAAAUUUGGUACAUCCUUAAAAAUAUUUGGUUCAUCCAAUCCUUGAGCUACCAAAACUGCUAUCUUAUUACCCAUGAUUCGUUUAUUCCUUUAGGGAUCUUUGGGAAGUGUUUAGAGGUCGUUUCCUACUUUGAAACGGACUUUGGAACUUUAGGUACAUCCAUGAGAAAAUUUGAUAUAUCCAAUCAUUGAGCUAAUAGGACACAUAUCUAUCUUCCCAUGGUCCAUUUCUUCCUUUGGAAACCCUCGGGGAGUAAUCGGAGGUCGUUCCCCACCUUGGAACGGACUUUGGCAAUCUUGGUACAUCAUUUACAAAAUUUGGUACAUCCUUAAAAAAAGUUGGUACGUCCAAUCCUUGAGCUACCGAGACACCUAUCUUAUUGCUCAUGGUCCAUUAAUUCCUUUAGGGAUCUUUGGAAAGUGAUUGGAGGUCGUUCCCUACUCCAAAACAGACUUUGGAAACCUAGGUACAUCUUUAAGAAAAUUUGAUAUAUCUAAUAAGGAUCUCGAUAGCCCGAUGAUUAGAUGUACCAAAUUUUCUUAACGAUGUACCAAAUUUUCUUAAAGAUGUACUUAGGGUUUCAGAGUAGUGAACGAUCUCUAAUUACUUCCUAAAGAUCCCUAAAGAAAUAAACUAACCAUAGGUAAUAAUAUAGAGGUCCUGAUAGCUCAUGGAUUGAAUGUACCAAAUUGUUUUAAGGAUGUGCCAAAUUUUGUAAAGGAUGUACCAAAUUGUCUUUAAGAUGUACCUUGAGUUCCAAUGUUCAUUUCAGGGUGGGGAACAACCUCCAAUUUCUUCUCAAGGGUCCCCAAAGAAAUAUAUGAACCAUGAGAAUUGAGAGAGGGGUCUUGGUUACUCUAAGAAUGAAUAUACCUAGGAUUGCAAAGUUUGUUUUGGGGUGGGCGAGGACCUCCAAUUACUUAUCGAGGGUCCCAAAGGAAUAUAACACCAUGAUAAGUAUGAUAGUGGUUCUGGUUCCCCUAGGCAUGAAUUAACCUUUUUUUUUUUAAGGAUGUACCCAAUGAUGAAAAUAUCGGUAAUCACAGAUAUAUCGAUACUUCGAUUUUACGAAUAUAUCAGAUAUAUUAGAGAUAUAUUGGCGGAUAUUUUGGAAAAAAAUAUCGGUAAGCUUAAAAUUGUUAAAAACUCAUGAAAAUGUAAGGAAAACAUCAUAAUAAUAUAAUUAGAAGUAUAAUAGACAUUUUAAAGUUAUUUUAUUGAAAAUUUUGAUAUAUGUAUAACAUGAUUUAUCAUAUUUGAUAAUAAUAUCGUAUGCAUCGAUAAAAAUAUGAAUUUUAUAAGUGUACAUUUAUUAUUAAAUUACAUAUAAUAUUAUCAUAUUUGAUUAUAAUAUGUCUAAUUUUAAAAUAUAUAUUAAUAUUAAAAUAUGAUCCAUUUAAUUCAAUUGUAUUAAACAAUAUAAAAUAAAUUAUGAUAUAUAUAUAUAUAUAUAUAUAUAUAUAUAUAUAAUUUUUUAAUAUUUAAUUAAUUAUUAAUGAUAUUAAAAACAUUAUGAAGAAAAUUAUAUAAUUUUUAUAUUUUUGGUAAUUAAUUAAAAGAAAAUUUUGUAUUUAAUUAUAAAAUAAUUAUAAUUAAUUUGCUCUUUAAAAUAUUCUUUUAAUAUUUUCUUUAUAUAAUGACUUUAAGUAUAUAUAUGUUUGGUGCACUUUAUAUUAUAAGGGUGAGUUAGUCCAGAUGGCAAGUGAAGUGAACUUUAAACCUUUUGGUUUGGGGUUCAAAUCCCCUCGGAAGCAAUUUCAAGCAAAAGGGAUGUACCUAAUUUUUAUGAAAUUAAUGUAAAAUGUUAAAUACAAUUUUUUUUUUAAUGAAAAAUGUAUUUUCUUUUAUAUCUUAUUUUAAUUAAAUAUUAAAUAUUUUAACCAAACAAAAAGUUAGAUCCACAAUCAAAUUAAAAUCACAAGAAAAAUUAUGAAAGCAUCAUCACUUAUUGUGAUUUUGAUAUGAUAAAUUUAAAAUGAAAAUUAAAAGAAAAAUAAUGUGAAUAAUAAAAUAGUAUUACAAAUAUAUUUUUACUUUUACAUGUGAUAGAAUUUACAAAAUAAAUAAAUCUUUUGUUUAGUAUUAAUAUAAAAAAUCUUAUAUCAUAAACUUCUAAAUAAAAAAAUAGAAUUUUUUAAUUUAAACCUUAAUUUAUCAAAUAUAUUAUUAUAAUUAAUAUUUAAAAUCAUCAAGUAUAUUAUUUGUGGGAUAAUAUUUUUAUUUUUGUCCAUUAUAUAUUUUUGUUUUUAUUUAAUUUGUUAUAUUAACUAUUUAUUAUAUAUUAUCAUUUUAAGUUUAAUAUGUCAAAAAAAUAAUUAAAAUCAAUAAAUAUUGAGAAAUUAGAGAGUAAAGAAAAAAUAAAAUUAAAGAAGUUUUAUGAGAAAAUUCUUGAGUAUAUUAAAAAGAAUAUAAAGGAACAAGAGAAAAAUAAUUAUAAAAACUAUAAUAGGUGACAAUAGAUUAUGGUGGUCGGAGAGGGAAAAGAAAAAGAAAAAAUGAAAAAAGAAAAAAGUAGGAACGUGACAAGUGAUAAGUGAGAUAUAUUGAUGUAAAAGAAACAAUAAAAAUAAAUGACACAUGUACUUGUCAAUAUGUAGUAUUAAAUUGAUGUGUACUUUGUCCUUUAUUUUUUAAAGUAAUUGUGAAACAAAUUUGAAAGCAAUGCAUGAUUAGACAAUAUUUUUUCUCAUUUUACACUAAAAUUAAAAAGAAAAAAGUAAAAUUCUAAAAUCUUUUUUUUUUUUAAUUGGUGUAUGUGUAGACUCCAAAAUUUGUCUCAUUUUUAUUUUACAUUGAUUUUGAGCCCAAUUUUGUCCAUAGAUUUUAAAUCCCAAUUACAAGUGAUGUUUUUGGCCCACUCACUAUUUAAUUAUUAGUUUUUAUCAUUUUAUAUUUUAUUUUAUUUUUACUAUUCUUUUUAUUUUUAUUUUUAUUAUUAUAUUAUAUUAUAUUUUUAUUUAUUUUUCUUUUUCCUUUUAUUUCUCUCAUUUCUCUCUUCUCUCUCAUCUCUCUCCCCUAUCUACCCUUCCAUCACUCCACGUCCAAGCCCUCCCCAAUUUCCACUCUUCAUCAUUUCUUUCCAUUUUUUUAUGGGAGAAUUGUGUUUUGGGCCCAGCUGGGCCCAAAAAUUAACAAAUGGUCCAUCUAACCGACCCAUUUAAGCUGAAAACCCAUAGAAAGUGUCAAAAUUAAAAAGAAUGAUAUGCACUUUUAUUAAUUCCAAAAAUAACCUUUGCUGAUUAUGAAAAAAAAAGAUAAUAAACAAAAAAAUCCAGGUUGGAAUUUUGCCCUAAUUUUGGUGUCUCUUCAGAUUUCAAGCCUAGAAGUCGUUUUCUUCUCUUCAUCCCGAGUUCCUCCAUCGCUUGCAUCUCAAUCUCAGCGGCUCUUUGGAAUUUUGCCCUAAUUUUGCUCUCUUCAGCAUUUCAAGCCUAUAAGCCAUUUUCUACUCUGCCUAGAGUCGUUUUCUUCUCUGCCUAGAAAUCGUUUUCUUCUCUGCCUAGAAGCCGUUUUCUUUUUUGCCUAGAAGUCGUUUUCUUCUCUGCCUAGAAGUCGUUUUCUUCUCUGCCUAGAAGCCGUUUUUUCUCUUCCUCCCGAGUUUCUCCAUCGCUUGCAUCUCAAUCUCUACGGCUUUUUGGAAUUUUGCCCUAAUUUUGGUCUCUCUUCAGCAUUUCAAGCCUAGAAGCCGUUUUCUUCUCUUCCUCCCGAGCACCUCCAUCGCUUGCAUCUUAAUCUCUACGGCUCUUUCAUUUUUUCUGGCAUUCGUCUCUCUCAAAAAUUUGAAUAAGGUAUGGAUUUCAGUUGGGUCUCUCUUGUUGCAUAUUUGAGGUUAGUAGAUUGCCUAAAUCUCGACCUAAAUUUUCUUAGUCCAAAUCUCUAAACUAUGUUCAACAAUAGUCGAAUAGAAAAUUUUAUUAACAAUUCCAGAAUUGCAUGAAGGGUUCAUUGUUGUCCUGGAACAUCUAACUGUCCUGUCAUUUUCACCUUGUUUCUAUUUUUUGGUCUUGGUAUGGAUUGAAGUAGAACAGAAAAUAAACUAACCAAGUCCAGGGAAUGCAUUCAACCAACAUGGGAAGUCAAAACAAAUAUAAAGUUCUCUUGAAUGAAAUGAUAAAUUUUCCACUAACAUUGCCUGAUAAGGGACACCAUUUAUCUGGCAUGCUUUCACAUCUCAAGAAAUUGAGACUUCUGAAUUCAAUCUUCUAGGGAAACAUGAAUUUAUGAACCAGUCUAUAUGUCAGCACAAAAACAGUCAAUUAUUGAAUGGGAACAGUAACUUGAACUCCGGAGAUCAAGUUGAACACAGUUUAGAGAUUUGGACUAAGAAAAUUUAGGUCGAGAUUUAGGCAAUCUACUAACCUCAAAUAUGCAACAAGAGAGACCCAACUGAAAUCCAUACCUUAUUCAAAUUUUUGAGAGAGACGAAUGCGAGAAAAAAUGAAAGAGCCGUAGAGAUUGAGAUGCAAGCGAUGGAGGUGCUCGGGAGGAAGAGAAGAAAACGGCUUCUAGGCUUGAAAUGCUGAAGAGAUACCAAAAUUAGGGCAAAAUUCCAAAAAGCCGUAGAGAUUGAGAUGCAAGCGAUGGAGAAACGCGGGAGGAAGAGAAAAAACGGCUUCUAGGCAGAGAAGAAAACGACUUCUAGGCAAAAAAGAAAACGGCUUCUAGGCAGAGAAGAAAACGACUUCUAGGCAAAGAAGAAAACGACUCUAGGCAGAGUAGAAAAUGGCUUAUAGGCUUGAAAUGCUGAAGAUAGCAAAAUUAGGGCAAAAUUCCAAAGAGCCGCUGAGAUUGAGAUGCAAGCGAUGGAGGAACUCGGGAUGAAGAGAAGAAAAUGACUUCUAGGCUUGAAAUCUGAAGAGACACCAAAAUUAGGGCAAAAUUCCAACCUGGAUUUUUUUGUUUAUUAUCUUUUUUUUUUUCAUAAUCAGCAAAGGUUAUUUUUGGAAUUAAUAAAAGUGCAUAUCCUUCUUUUUAAUUUUGACACUUUCUAUGGGUUUUCAGCUUAAAUGGGUCGGUUAGAUGGACCAUUUGUUAAUUUUUGGGCCCAGCUGGGCCCAAAACACAAUUCUCCCUUUUUUUAUUAACAUCUCCCCCAUUCCCAAUGCAAGACUUGUCGACCCCCCAUUCAAGCCCUAGGGCUUUUUUUGGUUUAUCUCUUCCAUUUCCCAAGGCAAGAAUGGUCGAGCUGCCCCCACUUUCAGUCCCCAUUUCCUCCCAUUUUUUGCUUCUUCAGUUUUUCUAACAGAGACACGGCAGCCCAACCCCGAAUUUUUUUUCUCUCUUUUCCCCCUCUCUACAACUCCACUUCGAUUCAGAGCAAGCACCCAGGGAUUCACUUCUUUUUUAUUUUUCAUCAUUCCAUUCACUCCACUACACCUCACCGACCAAACACCCCUUCAUUUCCUUCCCAUUUUUUUUCCUUUCAUUCUCCAUUUUUUUUCCUUUCAUUCUCCAUUUUUUUUCCUUAUUUUCUUUAUUAUUAUUAUUAUUAUUGUUUUCAAAAACUCAACCCCUCACCGUCGUCGGGACACUAACCGGUCGCCGCCAGCGAGCCACUGCCAGUCGGCGACCUCCUUCCCAUCUCAUCCGUUUCCCAUUACUAUUAUCAUUAUUAUUAUUAUUAUUAUUAUUCAUUUUUCUUAAUUUGAUUAUACUAGUAAUUGUUGUUUGUUAUCUUUGAAUUGUUGAAUUAAUAUGAAAUUUGAGUUAAUUUGUUGGUGGUGAAUUAAUAUCAAACUUAGGCUAUUUUUGUUUUUGCAUGGGCUCGUUCUGCGAACCUAUUAGCUGAGCAUAAAUUUAUGACACGUAGAGCACAUAAUUUCAUGGAACAAAAUGAGACUCGAAAAGCUGUAAAUGGAGCAUUGAACUUGUUGUAAGCCUACUGGGGUACAUAUUUGAUUUCUCAUUUAUAUUUAGUUUAUUUCUAUUGAUUUUCGUAAAUAUUUAUCUGUGUAUAUUUACUUGUAUGUACAGAAUUGAACAUCGAACAAACUAGAAAUUUUGUUUAAAUGAGAGGAAGAAUUCAGUAAAUGUGUUUUGAUGAAACAAUGAUUUUAAAAUAUUAUUUUUAAUAAAAGAAUUUUUUUUUUAUAUAUAAAAAUUCAGAAAAAUGCAUUCAGAAAAAUCCAAAAAAAUUGUUUUUAAUAGAAUUCAAAAAUUGUUUUUAAUGACAUUGUCCAAAAAUUUCUUUGUUUAAUAAAAAUUAUCCAAAAUUUGUUUUUAAUAAAAUUACCCCAAAAUUUAAUUUUUAAUAAAAUUUUCCAAAAAAAUGUUUUUCUUAAAUGAAAUCUUUUCCCUUAAUUAAAAUGGGAUUAAAAGUAUUUUUUUAGAAAUUAAGGAUUUAAUUUUUUUCUUUUUAAUUAAAAUUUAUUUUGCAAAUAAAGUUAUAUCAUUUUAAAUAAUUUGUAAAAAUCACUCUUUUAAAUGAAAAUGAAUCUAAAUACUUUUGUAAAUAAAUUUGUAAAAAUUCAUUAUUUUCUAGUAAAAGCAAGUAAAAAUAAUUUUUGUAACCAAAUUGAAAUUUUGUAAUAAAUGCUUUUGAUACUAAGUGUAAAUAACUUUUUUGAAAAUUGAAUACAAAUGAAGUUGAGAAAAUAAAUUGAUUCUUUUUUGUAAGUAAAUAAAUUGAAGUCAUUAAUUCAAAAUCAUUUUUAAUAAAAUCCUUUGAAAUUUCUUUAAAACUUUUUUUUAAAUAUCUUUUAUUUAUUUAAUUCAAUAAAUCAUUCUGCAUAAUUCUCUUAUUAUUUAUUUUGUGUAUUUUCAUAAUUAGAUUUCAUCAUUAUUUGUGUAAAUUGCUUUUCACUAUGACUUGUACAUGCUCAUUUGCUUGAUUAUUAAUUUUGGUAUCCAUGAUUAAUUAGUUAAUUGCCACAAUUGCUUCAUUUUAUUAGUAGAGACCCAACUUUAGGGACUUAGAGGGGUGUUACGGUCUUUACCGUACCUUCCCGAUAAGUAAUCUGACCCUCGAACCCGAUCCGGUUUUUCACAGACCACCUUUUCCAAAAUAAGGAGUCACAUUUAGGGUUUUUCUUUCUUAUUUUAUUUACCCUUUAAAAAUAAAACAAAAAUAAGUGGCGACUCCAAGUCAUUUUUCCUAAUCAAUAAAAUCAUUUUUCAAAUAAAAAUAAAGUUCGUCAUCGAGUGAGAAACGCAUGAGCCGAAAAUGCGGGGUCCACAAAAUGGCGACUCCACUGGGGACCAUGAAAGGGUCAAGCUUGAACAUAAAUUGAGGCAAAUGUGGCGUUUGAUUGGUCGAUCAGUGGGUACCCACCUCUCUUUGUGCGUGUGUUUAUUUGACUAUUGAUUACACAUUGAGAGCUCUUGAUAUCAUUACACUUGAUGCAUGCUUGGGUGUUUGUUUUUACUAGGGACAUUGACAUGUUGAUUAUGAUGAUUGUUUAUCUUGAUUGAGCAUUCCGAUUGUGGCGUUUUUCCCGUGCUUCAUAGCUAUAUUUGUUUGGGACAUUGAUAUGUUGAUUAUGUUGAUUGAUCAUCUUACCUUGCUUAGCAUAGUGACUCUAAUUUUGCCAUGUUUGUUCUAAUUACCUCACAUGUAUAGACUCACCAUUGUAUAUCAUUUGAUUUGACAUUAUUGAUUCUCUCGGUUAUAUAUUAUCUUGUUUAUCAUAGAGCAUGCUAUCAUUUGUCAAAUAUUCUUCUUGAUUAGCUUGUGUGUAGAUUUGGAUGAUAUAUACCUGUUUUGCAUGACUGUCUGUUGCAUGACUCCUCUCAUCCUGAUGUGACUGCAUGAGUUGUGUGUCUAUGUGGGACACACACUUAUCCCCUUAUUUCCAAGUCCCUAGUCUCGGUCGACAUUGUUUUCCUUGCUCUCGUAUUUGAUACGAGACUUGUUGCCUUGUUUGCUCUUCGACCGAGCUAGUGAUUAGGAAUAGGGUCUAGUGAUGGGCUAUAUCUAUGUUUGGGAGCAUUCUGGAGGUGAUCGACAUAUUGUUGCUGAUUGGAGUCCGAACUUUGAAGACUUGUAUAGCCCAGAGCUAGAUUUCAGGAUAUUUGUGUGGUCAGUGUGUUUUCUUUUAGUUUCAUAGGGUUUUCGGAUGCACCCACACCACUCACUGUGCACCUUAGAUUACCACUGAGUGUUGAGAGUUGUGAGAGCUUUCACCAUAGGAAACCCCCUAGGAUGUCGAGGCAGUGCAUGUGUAGAGGUGAUGACCACCUUGCAUGGAAACGCCCCGUCUCUUCGGAGACGUGUAGAGGGUUGCGUACCGCCGGAGAGUAUGAUCGCUUCUGCUAGGGAUCUUUUAAAGUCCACCCAUCUUAUUUUAGGGCCACCUUGACCUAUAGGAUGAGCUUAAAUCCUUUGAUCAGGACUUUCUUCCUUACACGUGGGUGCAUCUGAGGGCCUUCAAAGCCUCUUUAGUUACAGUUCGGAUCCAGUACUUCCUCAUUUGGUCUCCAGUUGAGAGUGCUUAGAGAUCAGUGCGAGUUUGAGUAUCAGUUGGACCACCCUUUAUUGUACGGUUUUGGUUUCUUCUUGUCGCUCAUUGAGUUUAGCACACUUUCUUCCUAGGACUUUAGAUAGUCUUCUUUUCUUACGUUGACGCAUUCUUUCAAUUUGUUGUCACUUUCUACUUGAUGUUUUGGGAUAUGCUCAUUGAUUAUGCUCACUUUUUUAUAUUCUUCACCUAUCAUGGGCUUGAUACUUCAUUCUUUGGUUGACUCGCCUGAUUCUAUUUUCAACCAGAUUUUCAUCACAGAAAGGUGAAAGGCAGGUUUUCACAUUCACACCAUUUUUGAGAUGUUCACCUUUAUCACCUAAUCAUUUUUCUUUAUUGAGCUUAGGUUGAAAGUGAAUAAGAGAUAUUUUGUUAUAGAUGGAGUAUCGAUCUCAUGACAAUGUUGUUUUUCACACCUCAUUCAUUUUUUAGAUCGUUGAUAGAAAUUCUUUAGUCACAUUUGUAGCCAUCUCACAGUGGACACCUUCAUGACCUUAGAGUUUCUGUCAUAUUUCCAAUUUUAGAUUGUCAUCACAGGACCAUAUAUCAAAUGAUGUGUUGUACUUUUGACUUGGGACAUUUAUUCAUUUGCACAUCACGAUCACUCUGGCCUGACAUAUCAUGGAGGAUAUUGAGUCUAUUGACCUAGGAUUAAGAGAUCGACCUAGGGAGUUCGAGCCUGUGACCCAUUUCACUUUCUGAUCAGAGCAGUGUCAUAUCUAUAUCCAUAUCCUGACUUUUCAGACUUGUUGACUUACCCAUUUUGAGCUUGACAUGACACUACCCUUGGUACCACUAUAUGACCUAGUCAUCCUUGUUCCCCUUUGUAUAUUACAGCACCAUUGCCUAUUCGUUCCAUCAUUUCCUUGAUCUAACCAGGUAGAGUCCGAGAUGGUUUGACCUGAGGUGAGCUUUGCAUGAUGAUAGAUAAAUCAUGAUGAGAGAGUGGUUUGAUUGCUUGAUAAUGUUGUUGAGACAGAGGGGUUAUCAUGGAGCAUCCAGAUUUGAGUCAUUGCACAUGACUUCAGAGAGUCGGGAUGAUUAGAGAUGGUGAUUUUAUGAGACGAUGGUGAGUGACCUAUGAUGAUGGAGUGAGGUUAUUAUUAGAGGACAUUGACGGUUAUCACAGAGCAUCAGUGAGAGCUUUUGCACGUUUUCAAAGGGAUCGCCAUGACUUUGUUGGACGGGUACCAGUCUUUAGUAUUGACCAUGUGAGAUCUUGAAAGCACGAUGUUCGAGGUUGUGGUCAAAUGAUGGGUGGCCAUCAUUUUAGGAGCCCAUUUACUUUAUCACCCUCACAUAUAGGGUUACUUGUUGCUAGCCCAUUGAGUCUCACACGAGCACGUAGCCUUUUCUUUCAUCACCUCAUCUACCUAUUACACCGGGUUGGGGACCCUGUAGUGCUUACAUGCUAUGAUUGGAUACGUCAUGAGUUCCAGACCUGAAAUACAUAUUCAAGCCUCAUUCAUCACUCUUCAUUGUGAUAUUUUCCUCUUUGACAUCAUCUCAUCACUUUUUCCAACAUCACAUAUCACUACUUGUGAUAUUCGUUCUCUGUCUUUUCUCUCAUCAUUGCUUACUCGACAUUAUCCUUGUUUCACCUUGAGUGGUGGUUUUUCACACGUCACUACAUAGAGGAUUGUCACAUUUUCCCCUCCGUUCGCCUUAUGAGCAGUGGUUCAGAGAUCUUAUUUUGAGAAGUUGUCUUGUUAGUGAGGAUUCAUGUUACAUCAGUACAUGGGGAGAAUUUAUUCAUUUAGCUAUGUAUUUCAUGGGAGAUCAUUCACUAUUGAUUAGAGUAUGCGCAAAAAAAAAAAAAAAAAUAGCGCAUUGUUCAUUUUCUUAUUCUUUAUUGGGCAUGUGUAUGGACGUACUAGUUUGCUUCUUUGAGUUCAUGUGUUAGAGAGAGUUCGUAUGAGAGCUUUUUUCUGAGAUUCUAUCUUGGUAUAUUUUGGGUGAGAGUAUGAGUCGCCCAUUCGUUUUUUGUAAGAGAGUCGAGCAACCUUUCUUUAGUAUUUUUGGAUCCUGGCUCUAUCCAUCAUCCCAUCUAUUUCGGAUGUAACUAUUUUCCAUGCUUUGAUGUGGGCUGACCAUCACUCAUUUUUCUAUCUCUUCGCCUUCUGCUAUCUUUAUUUUAUUCCUCCGUUUCACCCAACCUCAUCUGAUCUCAUUAUUUUCUCAUUUUGCUUUAUGUUUGACUUGGGAUUGGUACACACACAUCAUACUUGUUCAUUCAAUGUGACCAUUCAUUUAUCAUCACUAUUCGUGUGGGGACCCCUAAGUCCGAGACUCAUGACGUUUUCUACGCAUUGCAUCUCAUGCAUGAGGGGUAUGGGGAUUAUAUCAUUGGGAUAUUUGAGCCUAGUUUCCUUUCAUUUCUUUCACCCUAUUACCCUAGCCUACAUUACGUCCCGUGUCUGAAGACCACCCUGAGGCCAUUACUUCACAUUGUGUUUGACAGCUCACACAUGGGCAAUACUCGAGCUUGGUCGGAGAUUAUUUCUUGGAGCAUGAUGGACAGGGAGUUGAGAUGAUGAUUUACACUAGGGCAUACCCCUCUUAUCAGUGAUGGAUUUUCAGAGGUGUCGUUAUCUAUACUGGGGCAUAUCCCGCUCAUCGAUGACGUUUUCUUUCAGGAUGAUGCCUUACACUGAGGCAUAGUCAAUUCACUUAUUCACUUGGAUUAUGAUGGAUUAGGAGUUGUUGGAUGACCCUACACUAGGGCAUAGCCAUUUCAGAUAGCACUUUUAUUGAGAUACAAUCACUCUACUCGAUACUCUACAUUGGGACACACUCUACUCAUCGAUGGUUGAUUUUUGAGGUGACGUUUUAUUUUGAGGCAUAGUCCUCUCAUCGGUGAUGGACUUGGAUUUUUCAUUGGAGCAUAGUCACUUCAGGUGGUUUAUAUUGGGGCAUAGCCACUUCAUUCACAUUCAUAUAGCUCGGGGAUUUUGAUUCAUAUGGACUAUGACGAGAUGUUUCCAUUUUUGGCAUCAGGAGUAGGGAUCGAUUGAUUUGUUGAUGCGCACUAUCCAUGGUCCUUCUCAGCAGUUGUCGACUCAGAUGCACUGCUUUACACUGGGUUAUAGAUGAGAUGGAGAGUAUUUUUUCAUUGGAGCAUAGUCACCCUAUCAAAUCUUGUACACUGGGGCAUAUCCAUCUUUUGGAGAGAGAUUAGAUUGGUUCUUUACAUUGGAGCAUCUAUUGGAUGAUAUGGAUCAUUGGAUUAUUUGAUGUUGUGCUCAUUGCAUACUAGGGCAUAGCCACCUUGUUGGAGGUUUUGACAUUGAGGCUUGACUUCCUGUUUAUGAUUGUUGCUUUCGAUGGGUUAUGAAGCUAUCGACACCUCGGGUUUAGUCUUCUCGGCAUACUUGGAUGAUCUCAGAUACUUACAUACCUUUCAUUUCGUACUCAAACAUUUCACCCUGAUACUUUCACGCCUUCUAUCAUACCAGAGCCUGAUCGUCACCUUCUUUCAUCCUACACAUCCCACUGUGACACAUGACCUCACCUCUCUCUCGAUUAGGAAGAGAUGUAGAUCAAUCCUCGAUCACCUUGGUUGUGUUUUCAUACAUCUUUUGGACUUUAGGUUCAACAUCUUCCAUGAUAGCAGGGCCUGACAGAUUGUUGACUUAUUAGUGACGAUGUUUUCACUUUGACAGUUGGCAUGUUGAGUAUUGUUUUGCUUACUCUUUGCAUUUGGAGCACUAAUCAUUAUUGUUGUUAUUCACCAGUUAGUUUUGUUUUGUCAGCAUGGUGUCACGAUACAUGGUCCUGUUUGGCAUUACCUAUCUGAGGUUGGACAUUUUCAUUACAUGACGGAUGAGCAUAUUUCAGGGUACAAUAGUUUUGAGACGUUGUGUAUCUCAGUCUGUUCACUGUCACAUACUAGGCCAUACCCUCCUUCCCUGGAUCAUUAGACCUUCCACAGGUUUCAUUCACCUUUUUGGUCUAGUUGUUGACCCUCACGAGUUGCACACUAGGGCAUACCAUCCUUCCCUAGGAUCAUCGGACCAUUCAGAGGCUUCGUUAUCUUUCGACCUAGUCGUUGAUCCUCAUGAGUUGUCAUACUAGGGCAUAUCCCCUCCGGCUGAGUUUGUUUGCAUCAUUAUCUGAGUUAUCCUUUGGCUUUGGGCCACUUGAUUGGUCAUUGUCUUAUCUAUUAGAGUUUGGGGCCGCACCCGUAUCGAUCGGUCAUCUCCUUAUCAUGUCAGUUUAGUUUCCGGGACCGCACCUAUAUUGAUCGGUCAUAUUCCUAUCAUUUUUCAUGUUCAGUUUGAGUCGGGGCCGCACCUAUAUCAAUCGGUCAUGUUCCUAUCAUUUUCGUGUCAGUUUGCGUUUCGAGAUCGCACCUAUAUCAAUCGGCCAUGUUCCUAUCGCUUUUCGUGUUAGUUUGAGUUAAGACUGCACCUAUAUCGAUCGGUCAUUUUCCGUGUCAGUUUGAGUUUCGGGGCCGCACCUAUAUCGAUUGACCAUCAUCUUGUCUGUUUGAGUCUGAGUCAGGACCACACCUAUAUCAAUCGGUUAUUCAUCCUGUCAGUUUGAGUUUUGAGUUUGACUUUUUGGGACCGCACCUAUAUCGAUCGAUCAUCAUCUUGUCAGUUUAAGUUUGUGUUUUUGGGACCGCACCUAUAUCAAUCGGUCAUUUGUCGUGUUAGUUUGAGUUUGAGUUUUCGAGUUGGGACCGCACCUGUAUCGAUCGGUCAUUCGGCGUGUCAGUUUGAGUUGAGGUCGCACCUAUAUCGAUUGGUCAUGUUCCUAUCACUUUUUUUUUGUCAAUUUGAGUUUUGAGUUUGAGUUUUCGGGACCGCACCUAUAUCGAUCAGUCAUUUUCCGUGUCAGUUUGAGUUUCGGGGCCACACCUAUAUCGAUCAGCCAUCAUCUUGUUUGUUUGAGUCUGAGUCGGGACCGUACCUAUAUCGAUCGAUCAUUCAUAUUGUCAGUUUGAGUUUUGAGUUUGACUUUUCGGGACCGCACCUAUAUCGAUCGGUCAUCAUCUUGUCAGUUUGAGUUUGUGUUUUCGGGACCGCACCUAUAUUGAUCGGUCAUUCGUCGUGUUAGUUUGAGUUUGAGUUUUCGAGUUGGGACCGCACCUAUAUCGAUCGGUCAUUCGGCGUGUCAGUUUGAGUUGGGGUUGUACCUAUAUCGAUUGGUCAUGUUCCUAUUACUUUUUUUGUCAGUUUGAGUUUUCGGGACCGCACCUAUAUCGAUCGGUCAUCUUUCGUGUUAGUUUGAGUUAGGACCGCACCUAUAUCGAUCUGUCAUUUUCCGUGUCAGUUUGAGUUUCGGGGCCACAUCUAUAUCGAUCAGCCAUCAUCUUAUCUAUUUGAGUCUGAUUCGGGACCGCACCUAUAUCGAUCGGUCAUUUUCCUAUCAGUUUGAGUUUUCAAGUUGCAAUCGCACCUAUAUCAGUCAUUCAUCAUGUCAGUUUCAAUUCAGUUCGAGUUGGGAUUGCACCUAUAUCGAUCGGUCAUUCGUCAUGUUAGUUCGAGUCGGGACCACACCUAUAUCGAUCAGUCAUUCGUCGUGUUAGUUUGAGUGGGGCCGCACCUAUAUCGAUCGGUCAUCUUCCUAUCAGUUUCAGUUUGAGUUUCUGAGUCGGGACCGCACCUAUAUCGAUCGGUCAUUCGUCGUGUUAGUUUGAGUCGGGGCCGCACCUAUAUCGAUCGGUCAUCUUCCUAUCAAUUUCAGUUUGAGUUUUCGAGUUGGGACCGCACCUAUAUCGAUCGGUCAUUUGUCAUGUUAGUUUGAGUCAGGGUCGCACCUAUAUCGACCGGUCAUCUUCCUAUCGGUUUCAGUUUGAGUUUUUGAGUCGGGACCGCACCUAUAUCGAACCUAUAUCGAUCGGCCAUCUUCCUAUCAGUUUCAGUUUGAGUUUUCGAGUUGGGACCACACCUAUAUCGAUCGGUUAUUCGUCGUGUUAGUUCGAGUCGGGACCGCACCUAUAUCGAUCGGUCAUUCGUCGUGUUAGUUUGAGUGGGGUCGCACAUAUAUCGAUCAUUCAUCUUCCUAUCAGUUUCAAUUUGAGUUUUUGAGUCGGGACCGCACCUAUAUCGAUCAGUCAUUCGUUGUGUUAGUUUGAGUCGGGGCCACACCUAUAUAGAUCGACCAUCUUCCUAUCAGUUUCAGUUUGAGUUUUUGAGUCGGGACCGCACCUAUAUCGAUCGGUCAUUCUGCGUGUUAGUUUGAGUCGGGGCCACACCUAUAUCGAUCGGCCAUCUUCCUAUUAGUUUCAGUUUGAGUUUUCGAGUCGAGGUCGCACCUAUAUCGAUCGGUCAUCUUCUUAUUAGUUUCAGUUUGAGUUUUCGAGUUAGGGUCGUACCUAUAUUGAUCGGUCAUUGUCUUGUCAGUACCUAUAUCGAUCGGUCAUUAUCAUGUCAGUUUAGUUUCGACUUAGGACCAUACCUAUAUCAAUCGGUCAUUCAUCUAAUUAGUUCAGUUUGCUUUUGAGUUGGGGUCGCACCUAUAUCGAUCGGUCAUUUGUCUUGUUAGUUUGUGUUGAGUUUCGUGCUGGGACCCCACCUAUAUUGAUCGGUCAUUCACUUUUGUCAAUUCAGUCUUAUCUUCAGCAUAGAGGUCACAUAUUCGUCAUUUUCCUGUUUUUUGUGAUUUUGGUCAUGGAGACUAUGUCCCAUCUUUCAUUAUGUUUUAGGUGAUUUCAGUCAUUGCGACUGCGUCCCAUAUGAUUUUGGUGAUUUUUGGUCAUUACAGUCGCGUCACAUCCUUUACUUUAGAUUUAGGUGACACUAAUCUUUGCACACCUUGUCCUCACAGCUUCAUAUUUCAUCCUACUUUCGUAUAGUAGAUGAGUGAUUUCUUUCUUUGUACACAUUUAUUCCUGUGUUCCUUGGUGGUUCAGCUGCUACUCGAUUUCGACAUCGAUUUUCGAGUCACUUUUAAGGACAUUUAUGAGGGAGUCCAAAUCCAUAGUGUAUCUUUAAGGGCACCUUAAGAGUUUUUGUUCUUGUCAUUUUUGUAGGGUCUUAUAGCCUCUUUGUUCUUAUUUUAGUUUAAGAAAGCUCGUGUCAUACUGGGAGAAAUUUGGUGGUCUUUCUUGUUCUUCGGCAAAGUUCACUUCGUUUCGUUUGUGUAUACACUCACUUUACUCGUGGACUCUACCGAAGAGGGGCAUAUUUGUAGACCCCAAAAUUUGUCUCAUUUUUAUUUUACAUUGAUUUUGAGCCCAAUUUUGUCCAUAGAUUUUAAAUCUCAAUUACAAGUGAUGUUUUUGGCCCACUCACUAUUUAAUUAUUAGUUUUUAUCAUUUUAUAUUUUAUUUUAUUUUUACUAUUAUUUUUAUUUUUAUUUUUAUUUUUAUUAUUAUAUUAUAUUUUUAUUUAUUUUUCUUUUUCCUUUUAUUUCUCUCAUUUCUCUCUUCUCUCUCAUCUCUCUCCCCUACCUAACCUCACCUACCCUUCCAUUACUCCACGUCCAAGCCCUCCCCAAUUUCCACUCUUCAUCAUUUCUUUCCAUUUUUUUAUUAACAUCUCCCUCAUUCCCAAUGCAAGACUUGUCGGCCCCCCAUUCAAGCCCUAGGGCUUUUUUUGGUUUAUCUCCUCUAUUUCCCAAGGCAAGAAUGGCCGGGCUACCCCCACUUUCAGUCCCCAUUUCCCCUCAUUUUUUGCUUCUUCAAUUUUUCUAAUAGAGACACGGCAGCCCAGGCCCGAAUUUUUUUUCUCUCUUUUCCCCCUCUCUGCAACUCCACUUCGAUUCAGAGCAAGCGCCUAGGGAUUCACUUCUUUUUUAUUUUUCAUCAUUCCAUUCACUCCACUACAUCUCACCGGCCAAACACCCUUUCAUUUCCUUCCCAUUUUUUUUUCCUUAUUUUCUUUAUUAUUAUUAUUAUUAUUAUUAUUAUUAUUGUUUUCAAAAACUCAACCCCUCACCGCCGUCGGGACACUGACCGAUCGCCGCCGGCGAGCCACUGCCGGUCGGCGACCUCCUUCCCAUCUCAUCCGUUUCCCAUUACUAUUAUCAUUAUUAUUAUUAUUAUUAUUACUAUUAUUAUUAUUAUUAUUAUUUAUCAUUAUUAUUAUUAUUCAUUUUUCUUGAUUUGAUUAUACUAGUAAUUGUUGUUUGUUAUCUUUGAAUUGUUGAAUUAAUAUGAAAUUUGAGUUAAUUUGUUGGUGGUGAAUUAAUAUGAAACUUGGGCUAUUUUUGUUCUUGCAUGGGCUCGUUCUGCGAACCUGUUGGCUGAGUAUAAAUUUAUGACACGUGGAGUACAAAAUUUCAUGGAACAAAAUGAGACUCGAAAAGCUGUAAAUGGAGCAUUGAACUUGUUGUAAGCCUACUGUGGUACAUAUUUGAUUUCUCAUUUAUAUUUAGUUUUAUUUCUAUUGAUUUCCGUAAAUAUUUAUCUGUGUAUAUUUACUUGUAUGUACAGAAUUGAACAUCGAACAAACUAGAAAUUUUGUUUAAAUGAGAGGAAAAAUUCAGUAAAUGUGUUUUGAUAAAACAAUGAUUUUAAAAUAUUAUUUUUAAUAAAAGAAAGUUUUUUUUUAUUUUUUAUAAAAAUUCAGAAAAAUGCAUUCAAAAAAAUCCAAAAAAAAUUGUUUUUAAUAGAAUUCAAAAAUUGUUUUUAAUGACAUUGUCCAAAAAUUUCUUUGUUUAAUAAAAAUUGUCCAAAAUUUUUUUUAAUAAAAUUACCCCAAAAUUUAAUUUUUAAUAAAAUUUUCCAAAAAAAUGUUUUUCUUAAAUGAAAUCUUUUCCCUUAAUUAAAAUGGGAUUAAAAGUAUUUUUUUAGAAAUUAAGGAUUUAAAUUUUUUUUUCUUUUUAAUUAAAUUUUUUUUUUGCAAAUAAAGUUAUGUCAUUUUAAAUAAUUUGUAAAAAUCACUCUUUUAAAUUAAAAUGAAUCUAAAUACUUUUGUAAAUAAAAUUGUAAAAAUUCAUUAUUUUCUAGUAAAAGCAAGUAAAAAUAAUUUUUGUGCCCAAAUUGAAAUUUUGUAAUAAAUUCUUUUAAUACUAAGUGUAAAUAACUUUUUUGAAAAUUGAAUACAAACAAAGUUGAGAAAAUAAAUUGAUUCUUUUUGUAAGUAAAUAAAUUGAAGUCAUUAAUUCAAAAUCAUUUUUAAUAAAAUCCUUUGAAAUUUCUUUAAAACUUUUUUUUAAUAUCUUUUAUUUAUUUAAUUCAAUAAAUCAUUCUGCAUAAUUCUCUUAUUAUUUAUUUUGUGUAUUUUCAUAAUUAGAUUUCAUCAUUAUUUGUGUAUAUUGCUUUUCACUAUGACUUGUACAUGCUCAUUUGCUUGAUUAUUAAUUUUGGUAUCCAUGAUUAAUUAGUUAAUUGUCACAAUUGCUUCAUUUUAUUAGUAGAGACCCGACUAUAGGGACUUAGAGGGGUGCUACGGUCUUUACCGUACCUUCCCGAUAAGUAACCUGACCCCCGAACCCGAUCCGAUUUUUCACAGACCACCUUUUCCAAAAUAAGGAGUCACAUUUAGGGUUUUUCUUUCUUAUUUUGUUUAUCCUUUAAAAAUAAAACAAAAAUAAGUGAUAACUCCAAGUCAUUUUUUCCUAAUCAAUAAAAUCAUUUUUCAAAUAAAAAUCGAGUUCAUCAUCUAGUGGGAAACGCAUGAGCCGAAAAUGCGGGAUCCACAAUAUGGUUACAUGAUUUUUCCUUUAUAAUAACGUGUGAAAUUAGAUAGUAUUUUUAAUUUUUUUCUUUUUCAAAUAGUUCAUAAAUAAGCACAAGGUUAGAUGUUGUAUCCAUCAUUUUAGCAAUAGUUCAAAUAAAUACAAAUUAGAAAUACAUCUUUUAAAAAAAAUUACAAUAUAAUUUGUUAAAAAGUUAAUUUCAAAAAACAAUUGGCAGAAUCAAUAGACUUGAGUAGCUUUACGAGAGAGAUUUGAAAGAACCAUCUCCCAAUCCCACAUCGAGAAAUGAAGAAGUAAAACCAGUCUUCAAAUAAUGCCACCGGGAGGGCAAUAAUUGCCGAGCUUAGUAACGUGUGUUUUUAACCUGAGUGGGGGCUUCGAGAAUGGUUCGGCUGAGUAGAUAGGGCCUAAUUGCUGGCUUGCCCAUUCAAGUAGCGAGUCGAGUCCCGACGCCUACGAAGGCUUGGGUGGCGUGGCUCCUAGAGUGGCGGAGUUCGCGUGAGGCUGGCUUCACAAAGCAGCGUCCACCUCCUGCUGAUGAAUCUCCCCGUUGGGCUAAAAGCAUUCUUGUUUUAGUUAAUGACCGGGGAUUAGGCUAAAUCAAACUUUAUUCUUAAUUGAUUUAUAUUGAAAUUAAAUUUCUUUUAAAAUAUAAUCCUUUUUAGUUAUUUAAUAAAAUUAAAUUAAAAUUCCAAAUAAACUCUUGUUAAUGCAUCUAUAAGAACUAAAUUUUUAUUAAAAUUUCUAUUGCAAUCUUUUAUUCUAUAAUUUAUUUUCAUUGAUUUUCUUUUUAUAUAUUAUUAAAAAAUACUAUAUUUAAUCCUAAUUUGAAGAAAAGAUGUUGAAUACAACCCAUUUUAGUAGGUUGUCCAUGAAAAUUUUAAAAGAAUUAAAAUUAAAUUAUUAAUAAAUAUAUUUUCUUGAACUUAUUUCAUUUUUGAGGAAAAUAUCAAGGAAAGUAUUUUAAAAUUUUCCAUAAUAUUUUCAUUUUUUCUAUCUCAUUUCCAUUUCAUCCAAGCAUAUGAGAAUAGUAUAUAUAUAUAUAUAUAUAUUUUAAUAUACCAUUAUGAUGAAGCAAAUGAAAUAAUUCAACAUUUUUUAUUGAUAAACUAGAGGUAUCAAAAAUCGAACCACCAAGAGAAUGGUCUAUUUCAAGACUUAAGUAUAUAUAAAUUCAUCUCACCCUAAAAUAAAAACUAUAAAAAGAUAUGACCUCUAACUGAGAUAACCUCCAAACUUGCAAGAUGACUUGAUCGGCUAACCUAUACCUAAAAAGACGAGUCCAACUACUCUUAUCCUCAUGUACCCAAAAGUCAACAAAGUCUGUUGAUCUGUUGCAAAAAGUUUGUUUCUUUACGAUAAAAGUCACUCCUUCAUGCUCCUUCACAAGGAAGAGUAGCCAUAAAAGAGAAGCAUCCUCCCCACCCCAAUAUAUCCCCUCUCAACCUCUAAAAAUAACAGUAGAACUUGCAUAUUUGUAUUUAGAAUAUGGUGGAAUGAAAUUUCUAAUAUUUUCCUUCAAGAAUUUUAGUUUUUUCAAUAACUAUUUUUGAAAUAUUUUUAGGAUAAAAUUAAUAUUAAACAUUUUUACCUUCCACUAAUUCAACACAUAUAAUUUAAUAUUAAAGUUUUUUACUUAAUUUUUAGUAUAUCAAUGCAAUUUAAUAACAUUAUCCACCGAUUUUAUAACAAAGUAUCAAAUUAGAUAGCAUAAAAUUUAUAUUUUUUAAAUAAUUUUUUUUCAAAAUAAUUCAUAAAUAAGCACAAGCUUAAAUAUUGUUGUUCUUCACUUUAGAAGUAGUUCAAAUAAUACAAAUCAAGAAUACAUAUUUUUUAAAAUAAAUUACAAUAUAAUUUGUUAAAAAAUUAAUUUCAAAAAUCAAUAAUUUUCGUUUACAAACAUAUAAGAAACAAAAUGCAAUUUCAAUUAGUAAAUGGGGAUGAAACCUUAAUCUAUAUGGUUUUUUUUUUUGUCCUACAAACUAUUUCUAACAUUUUUUUGAAAGCAAAAUAAAAUAAUAUAAAAUAAAAUUACAAUAUGAUUUUUUAAAAAGUUAAUUUUAAAAAUCAAUCGACAAAAUCAUUAAUUUUCAUUUACAAUCAUAUAAGAAACAAAAUGCAAUUCCAAGUAAUAAAUGGGCAUUCAAACCCUAAUCUAGAUGUUUUUGUUUCUUGUCCUACAAAUAUAUGUACAAAUUAUAUAUAUGCUUUUUUUAGAGAUUUUAAAAAACGAUCUCGCAAUCCCACAUCGAGAAGGAAUAAGUAAAACUAAUCUUCAAAUAAUGCCACCAUGAGGACAAGACGUUAUCGGGUAUGGUAACGUGGGCUUGCAACCCGAGCGGGGGCUUCGAGGUCGACGGAGAUUGGCUCGGCUGGGGUUGGUGGAGCCUGAUGGGGUUAAUUUGUUGGCUUGUGCCCGCUCAAGUUGGAAGUUGAGUCCCGACAUCCAGGCGAAGGCUUGGAUGGCGUGGCUCCUAGAGUGGCGGAGACCGCGACCUCCCGCUCGUCCAUGGAAGGAAAACCAGCCGGUGCUCCACAGGUCCCAAGAACUCCUCCUCAGCCGCUCACAAUCUGACAUCCACCAUUUUUUACUUUCCUUUUCUUAACCCACCAUAUUUCUAUCCCAGCUUCUUGUUUUCCAUCUCCUUUUGCUUAGAAACAAUUUUACAUACGCCCUUCGAUCUUCACCAAUUCUUCUCGCAAAAGACAAAAUGUCUUCCAAAUAUUUUAAUGCAUAGUUUUUAGAUGAAAACAGACUUUUUAAUAAAAACUUCAAACCUUCAAUUCAAAAAUCUGCAUAAAAAAAUGUUAAAAUCUUCAUUAAGAAAUUUUCAAAAAAAAAAUGUUGAAAUCUUCUUUGGAAAAAUUUUCAAUUCUUCAUGAGAAUCUUCCACUUUUAAAAUCUUCAAUUCAAAUACUUACACGUUAAGCUUUCCACAAUUCUUCUAGAAAGUGUAAAGUGUAUUUUGAAAGCAAAUUGGCUUCCACUUCUAUAAAAUUGAGGAAUUUCUUUGACAUUAUCUUCUAACUUUCUACAAAGUAUUAUUAUUAUUAUUAUUUUUCAAUCUAGUAAUCAAAUUAAUUAUAAUAAUAAUAUUUUUUAAUUAUCAAAAUUACUAUAUUCAUUCUAUUUUGAAAAUUCUUCUUCUUUUGUGUGGGACUCAUGUGACAUGUUUCAUUAUCUUACUUUGAAGAUAUUAAUAACACGCAACUAUACUAUAUGUAUCAUAUUAUUCAUGUGUGGAUGACAUUUUUUUACACGCUUAAUGGUGUGAUAACUUUUCAUUUGUCACAAAUAUCUUAAACAAUAAGUUUUGUAAUAUAUGACAAAUUUUUAUUUAAUCACUAAGUACAUGCCACAUUUUAUGAUCAAUCGCUUAUUGACACUAAUAAAUUUUAUCCUUCUAUUGUUUGAUAAGAAAUAUUAAUAUUAGGUGGUAUUAAUUUAUAACUCAAUGCAUGAGUGGUAAAAAUAAUUUUUCAACAUAAGGUGAUAUUUUAUUGGGACAUCCCAUAUUGGAUGAAGGUAAAAGUUUUUUACAUUAUACAAGUAUGAACUCUACUUAAUCUUGUAAACGCAUUUUCAAAUCGUAAGGAUCCUUUUAAGUUUAAAGCAAACAAUUUCUAUACGAUUGGAUAUAAGUCGUAAUAAAUAGUAUCAAAUUCGGUCUCUUACUCUAGUGUGAAAGUUUGUUUUGUGUUUGUUUUGCCCCAUUGAAUGUCUAUUUGUUUGGUGGAACACAAUAAGUCUAUAUUUAAAUUAAUGAGGAUUCAUUUGGGUCUAAAGUGGAGAAUAUUUACAUAAUUAGAUAUAGGUCAUUAUAAAUUGUAUCAUUGUUUAUCAUCGACCCUAGUGUAACAGUUUGUUUGGCUCCAUAAAUAAUGCUUAUUUGUUUGACCUCAUAAUUCCAUAGGACAAAACGAUGAUGUUGUGUCUACAUGAAGGAUGUUUGUGAUAUCUCACAUCGAAUAAGAAAAAAAAGUUUUUGACAUUAUAUAAAUAUAGUUUCUCUUAACCAUAUAGACGUGUUUUAAAUAUGUGAAGACCUCUUUAAACUCAAAACGGAUAAUAUUUAUAUGAUCAAGUAUGAGUCGUUAUAUUUAUAAUGUAAUUGAGUUAAAUUAUUGAAUGAGCAAUUAAAUAAAUAUGAACUUAAUUAAAAAAAAAGUUAUAUCUUUCUACAAUGUAAAUAUAUAUAUAUAUAUAUUAUGAAACAAAAUUUUUGUUUGAUUAAAAAAAAUUAUUAUUUGGUUGUAUUUUCCAAUUAUCAAAAUACAAUAAAUUUAAUUAUUUAUUAACACAAAGAUGGUUUUUUUAUAGAGAGGGUGGUUUUGUGUUUUCUUUUCAGACAUAUAUUAAAUGACAUUGUAUUUGUCAAUAUAAAACUUCUAGAAGAAGCACUUUCCAUGGAGGAAUAUUCUCCCAUGUCCUUGAAUUUCAAUAAUUAUUAAAUAUUACAUCAAUCUUAGAUAAUAUGAUUCAUAUGCACAUGUUGCUAUGUCUUUUCUUAAAAUUCUAUAUUUUAUUAAUUUUACAAAGAAGAACUACAUGUCUUUCAAAAUAAUAAAACUAUUUUUUUAGACAAAAAUACUCUUUAUCAAUUUUAGUUUUUUUAUAAUCAUCAUGGGGCAUAUAUGAGAGAAUAUCUUGAAUAUUGAAAAGUAUUAAAGAAUUCUUCAAAGGUGGUUAAAGGGGAUGGGGUAAUACGCGUAUUUAGAAAAAAUGACUUUAAUGUAUUAAAAAUUACAUAUAUAACCUCAUUUGGACGUUUUUAUCAUUAAGCCUUUGAUCCAAAAAGUGUUUGGUGUUAAAAUAAGGAUUAAAAAUUUGUGGAAGGUCAAUUUUAUACAAAAAUUGUUUUAUGUCAUGGGUUUAGACUUUCGAAUUCUCAUUUUCAACGUCUCCUUUAGUCAAAUAAUCUCUUUUUAAAUACUAAAAGAUGUUUAAAGAUUAAGAAUAACUUAAAUAUUUGAAUAAAACUCUCUCUCAACCUAUCUAAAUAUUUUAUACUUACAAUUAAUAUCGUAUAACUUUAAUAUUGUGGUAUUAAUAUUAUACUAAACACAAUUUAUAUAAAGUGUUAACAUUUAACGAAAUCAAACGUGUACUUCCAUAUUAAUUUUAAGUAUGCGCUUUUAAAUUUUAUAUUUCUUAUCAUGUUAUAUUGUUGUCCAACAUCAUAAAUUUUGACUUUUUUUUUUUAAUAUAAAAAAUAUGAUUUUAAUAUACAUAUUAUUAUUUGUUUUAUAAAUUUUUAUAAUUUUUUAACAUUUUUAUGGGUUUUGAUCAAUUUACAUCUUAUCGAUUUUUUUCUAAUUUAUAUCCAAUAUUUUUGUAAAUUCAACUGUCAAUAUUCCACAAAUUUAUGAUAUUUCCAUCUUCCCAAACUCUCUAAUAGUUGCAUUAGACCUUCAAAUUAACUAUACUUAUUUUAUUUUUAUUCAAAAUUUUCUGAUUAUUAUAAUGAAAGAAUUAAUAAUCUAAUAAAUAAUACAAAGAGAAUAAGAUUAAUUAAUUAAUUAAAUACAUCAAUUAUGCUUGCUUGGUGAUUUGGGUAUUUAUCAUGUACAUAUUAAAAGCAAACUACUAGUUGUGCUACAAUUUUUACCUUUGAAAAACAUUUAAUUUGUUUAAAAAAUGUUUUUUAAAAAUCAUUUUUAAUUCUUAAAAACAACUAUUUUUCAAACUAAUAACACGUUUAAUAAUUAUUUUUGUUACAUUCUUACAUAACAAUAACGAGGGGUGACAAAAGGUGGUCAGAUGUAGGGGUCUCCAAAAAGCCCGCGGCCCGCGGCCCGCUUUAGGCCCGGCCCGGCCCAAGCCCGCCGGGCCCGAGCCCGGCCCGAGCCCGUUUAUGGGCGGGCCGGGCCGCGGGCCUAAAAUUAGGCCCGGCCCGUAGGCCCGCCCGUAGGCCCAGCCCGUAGGCCCGCCCUUAGGCCCGCCCAUUUAAAAAAAAAAACUACAAAAAUAAAAAGUAUUAAAAAAAAUAUUCAUUUCAAAAUUUUAUUCAUUGAAUGUAUAAUUACAUUUAAAAAUGUGGGAAAAUUUUACAUCACUACAAAAUAAAUACAUCCCAACUAGGUUGGCACCUAUUUAUUUGUCAAUCAUUUGUAUUUUUCAACCACAAAAAAUAAAAAUAAAAAUAUAAUAUACAUUUAGUCAUUAUUUUCUGGCGGUGAUGGCGAACUAUCAUGCAUCCAUGAAGAUCUUGAUAGUUUUAAAGAUUCCAUAUCGACAAGCAUCUCUGUUUCUCGAAUGGAAUCGUACAUCCUUUUUUCUGCAAUUUCCCAAUCUUUUACACAUAUCCCUGCUUCAAUAACGUCUGGCGCUAAGUUGCAUCGUUUUUUACUAAUAACUCUUCCACCUGCACUAAAAGCAGCUUCUGAUGCAACUGUACUCACAGGAACUGUUAGUACAUCACGAGCAAUUAUAGAAAGCACAGGAUAUUUGUGUUGAUGUGAUUUCCACCAUAUUAAAAUAUCAAAAUCUUCUUGAUCUUCAAAUGGAAUUAUAUCAGUAUUAAGAUAUUUAUCUAAAUCAGAUGUAUUAUUUGGAGAACUAUUUGUUGUCUUUUUUCGACUUUUCAACAUUUCUAGAGCUCCUUUAUAAAAAGAUGAGGAGUUUGUAGAUGUAGGUGGUAAUUUAUUAGUAUUAAUAUCAUUACCAUAUUUUUCUUUAUAAUAGUUAUAUAAAUUAUAUAAUAAUGAAUUUAUUUCAUUUUUAAUUUCUUCAAUUUUUAUUUGGUCAUUAAAAUAAAUAAUUGUUAACCAUUCAUCCAAAGCUUCAAAUUUCAAUCUAGGGUCCACAAUUAAAGCAAUAUAAAAAAUUAAAGGUAUUUCUCCCCAAUAUUUUCUAAAUUUUUCUAUCAUUGCAAAUAUUGUAUCAUUAAAUAUUUCAAAACUUAAAUAUUUUUGAAGUACAAUAAAAAUAUUAGUUAUUUGCAUAAUAACUCGAUUUGAAGUUGGAUAAUAUACACCACAAAAAAUGUUUGUUGAAGUAUCAAAAAUUUCAAAAAGAUCUCUUAAAAGAUCCGCAACAUGCCAAUCAUAAUCACUUAAUGCAUCAAUAUCUGCAUCACAAUCAUUGUUAAGUAAUUGUAUUUCAUAUAAUUCGACUACUUUUCUAUAUUUUGUAAUAUUUUGUAAAAGUUUAUAUGUGGAAUUCCAUCUAAUGGCCAUAUCCAAAUUUAUAUUUUUUCUUUUCAUAUUUAACAUUUUGCAACAAUCAAAAAAUAAUUCAUGUUUUGCUUGAGAACUAUUAAUACUAUAUGCAAUGCCUCUAAUUUUUUCCAAUGUAUCAUCAACAUUUUUUAAUCCAUCCUUUACAAUUAAAUUUAAAAUAUGUGCACAACAACGCACAUGAAAUAUUUUAGCAUGAUCAUCUUUUACUUGCCAAUAUAGUUUUAGUCUAUUUAUUGCUGCAUCAUUAUUAGCAGCAUUAUCUAAUGUUACUGUCAAUAUUUUAUCACGAAGGCCUAAAUUUAUAAUUUCUUCAUUUAUUAAAGCUGCUAUAUUUUUACCACUAUGUGGAGCAUUUAUUAAUUUAAAUGAAAUUAUUCUUUUAUUUAAUUUCCAUUCAUUAUCAAUGUAAUGAGCAGUUAUACAUAAAAAACCAGUGUGAGUUAAAGAUGUCCAAAUAUCAGAUGUUAAACAAAUAUUUCCUUCAAAAUUUGCAAAAAAAUUUUUUAAAAUUUCUUUUUGUGUAUAAAAUUUUUUCAUAAUAUCUCUUUUAACUGUAUUUCCAGACCAACCUUUAAAUUGAGGAUUAAUACCUCGUUGAAUUGUUCCUACAAAAUCAUGAGUUUCCAUCAUGUUGAAAGGUUGUUCUGCUCUUAUUAUAUAAUCAAUCAUUUCUUCACGACAGUUAGAUUCAUCAUAAGAAAAUGUUUUUAAAUUUCCACUUUCAUUUUUACCUAAUUGCAUAUAAUUUCUAAUAUCUACAUUAUUUUUAGUUUUACAAUUUUCGUGAUGUCUUUUUAAAUGACUUGUGCCUGCAUUUGAGCCACCAGUAAGAAAUUUAUUACAAAUUUUACAUUUUGCUUUUAUUUCUUUUUUAUUAUUUUCUAAAAUUAUUUCUACUCUAUCAAAAAAAUUCCAUAUAUUUGAAGUAAAUUUUUUGUUUGAUGAUAUUUCAUCACAUGGACUAGAUGAAGAAGCACUUGUUGUCAUAUUAUAAUUAUUGAUAAAAUAUUAUGCCAAAAAUAAUAAAGUAAUAAAUAUAAAAAAAAAUGUAACAAAAAAAUAAAGUAGUAGAGGUGAAGUAUGUUACUCAAUUAGAGAACCGAUGCAGAAAUUCCUAGCAAAUUUGAACUCUUGGAGCCACCAAUGCUUGUUUUGCACCACCAACAAUAUUGUAUAAUUUGAGGGAAAAAUAAAAAAAAUUGAAAUAUUGUAGAAUGUGAGAGAAAUAGAGAGAGAAAUAGAGAGAAUUUGAUGAAAAAAUGAAAAGGGAGAAGAUGUAUUUAUAGGAAGGUUUUUUUAAAAAAAAAAAAAAAAAAAAAAAAAAAAAAUUGGCCAUGUGACCGUUGCCCAACGGUCACAUGGCAGCUAGGAGCAUGGGUUGGACUGUUGGAGCUCCAACGGUCACAUGACCGUUGGAGCCUUUAAUUUUUUUUUAAAAAAUAAUAUACUUUAUGUUAUAUAUAUAUAACUAACUCUAACAUUAAACACAAAAGUAAUGUGGCUCAGUUGGUUAGAGCCUUUACUUUGAACCAUGAGGGGAGGGGUUCGAAUCCUCCCCUCUCCAUUCAUUUCUAAAGCCUUUUGGCUUAUUUAAAAAAGCCCAAGGCUUGGCCCGCCAGCCCGCCCCCAGCCCGCCCGCCAGCCCGGCCCGCAGCCCAGCCCGCCCAGCCCGCGGGCUCAUAGGCCGGGCCGCGGGCCGAAGAUUUUUCCCUGGCCCGGCCCGGCCCGGCCCGUUGACCAGUCAACGGGCCCAUAGGCCCGGCCCGAGCUGGGCCGCGGGCCUCCUAUUUACGGCCCGGCCCGGCCCGGCCCGCCCGUUGGAGACCCCUAGUCAGAUGAAUAGAAAAUAAGUUAAUAUGAAUUAGUGUUUGUUUAAAUAUUUUUUCGAAAACAUAGUAAAACUCUAUAUUUCCUUUUUAUUUGAAAAACUGAUGAAAAUAAUUUAUAUUUGUUCUUUAAAAAUUGUUUUUAAUUUUACUUUGUUUUUAAAAAACAACGAUCAAAUAGUAUUAAAAACUUUCAAAAACAGUUUUAUAUUUUUAUGAACAAAAAACUGUUUUAAAUCCCAUUUGCAAGCUAUUAAUUUUACAAUCUUUUUAACAUUCCAUUACCACUUAUCUCAUGAGGAUGCCUUAAAAGAGUUGGGAGGAAUAAGAGGGACCACUUUUUAUGGCUCCAUAUCAUAUAAGUAGGUGGUGCCCAAGGACUACGGCAACUAUGCCAUAAAAUUAAUGCAAUUGCACGUGGAAAACCUUGAUUAAAAUUUAAAAUGUAUUUAAUGCAAUUGCACGUGAAAACCCUUGAUUGAAGCGUAUAAAGAUUGAGAUAAUCUAUGAAUUAUUUAUUUUAAAUACUAAGAGAAAAUAUUUUGAAAACCGAAUUGGACGAAACAAAUUAUUAAAUAGACAUUUUUAGAACCGUUUCAACUUGUGAAUUAAGGCAAUUUCGUCCAAUUAUUUAUUUCACUGGUAGCCCUCGUGACUAGACCAAAUGCCUUUUUUUUUUUUUUAAUCCGUUUGAUCUCCCAUUGCUCAAGUGAAUACUUAUCAAGGGAUGCUGAUCUUCCAAUAAUCCAAAAUUUAAUUUUUAAAUCUUUCUUAAGAUAUUUAAAAUGGUAGGGUAAGUUGUCAAAAAUUAAUAAAGGGAUUUUAGUUCAAUUUUGAAACUUUUGAUUGAAUAUUACCUUAUAAAAAAAACGAAUUUAUCUUUAACACAUCUUUUUAAGUCAUUAAAAAAAUAUACUGAAUCAUUUUAUUCCCUUUAAUUACCUAAUUUGUCACAUCUAAUUUGUUACAACCCAAAACUUACCUGUGACUUUUUUUUUUGGAUUGGACCAACAACCAUAAAUCUUCAAAAGUCAGAUUCCUAUGCCACAAAUAAUGACUCUUGAAAUAUUGAUACAAUUAAAUAAUAAAAUUUUAUUUGAAUCUUUAAUAUAUUUCUUUAAAUUGAUAAAAUAAUAAAUAUUAAUAAAUUCAAUAUAUUAAAUAACAAAUUACAGGUUUUUAUCUUUUAUUAGCAGCAUUAAAUUAAUAAAUCUAAAUUAAAUGUGUAGAGACCAAAAAGUCCUUUCUCCUUUCUUUUUACUUCUGUUUACAACCUUCUCUACUCGUCAUUUCACACCAUCCCAUGCUAUAUUCCACUUAAGCUAACUUGCAAUUGAAGGAAUGGUGGGUGGGUUACUUUGUAUAGGUGUCAUUCACAAUGUAAUAACUAAUACACUAAUAGUUAGGCAUGCUUUUAUUAUUAUUAUUAUUAUUAUUAUUUAAUUUUUAUUGAAAAAAAAUUAAAAUGAAUCUUAACCAUGUGAAAAUAAACUACUAAAUAAAGGAAAAACAAUGUUUAAAAUAAAAAGAGAGAAGCAUUUUUAAAAUAUUUUAAUUGUUUAUAUAUUUUAAAUUUUUAUAAUAAAUUUUAAAUUAAUAAUGUAUAUAUUAUAUGUUUAUGAUGUUAUAUCGAUAUUACACUCCGAAUACUUUAAUCACUUAUUGGAUCAAUGAAUUUAAUUAUGUAAUUUUUUUGAUUUAAUAAUCGAUCACAUUUUAAAAAUGUUAUUAAAAAAUUAUACCAAGGUAGAAUAUACAAUUUCAAGAAUUGUUUUUUAUACAAUUCUAAAAUUUUGGUCUUAUUCUUUUCAACUCAAUUUAUCAUGUCUUUCUUCAUAGGUUUAUAUUUAAAAACAAUAUUCAAAAAAUGAUUUUAUUAAAAAUAUAAACCUCUAUGAUUAUUAUGUAAUUAAAUUUUAUAUUUGAAAAUUAUAUUAAAAAAUAAAUUUAUUAAAAAAAGAAUAAUUAAAUAAAACUCUACUUUGAAGUUUGAAAAAACCUGCACCUUAUUUGACAACUAUUUUUUAAAACAAUUCUGAAAAACAACUUUUAAAAUUUAUUUUUUGAUGUUUUAUAAAAUAAAAGUUUGUUUGAGAACUUGAAAUGUUUUUAAUCUAUUUUUAAUAUUUUGAAAUAUGUUUUAAAAAUAAAUUUUAUACCUAAUAUUUUAUUUUUAAUCCUUUUACAUGCUCAUAUAAUUAUUUUUUAAAACAACACAAAAAAAAGAAAAAAUAAUAGAAAACAACUAAAAUAUGUUUUUUUGAAAAUAUCUUAUUUUUUAUUCUUAAAAAUAAAAAAAUAGAAAUAAUUUAUAGUUGUCAAACACGUUUUUUUAUUUUUUGUUAUGACUCAAAAAAUAAUUACUAAAUAAACCCCUACUUUUUGUUUUGAAGUAGCAAUAAAUUGUAUUAAAAAAAUGUGAAACUAUCAAACACAUCCUAAUAAUUGCAUUAGAACUUCCAAUUGUAAAAAUUUAUAUUUCAUGGCUACUAUAUCAAAAGAAAUUAACAAUAUGAUAAAUGACAUCAUAAAAUUAAGUCCUCACCUACAUAAAUGAAGUGUGUAGUUACCAUGACUUCAACUAAUAAUUAAUCUUAUUAGUAAUGCUAAAUCAUCUUAAUACCUUUUUCAAAAUAAGUCAGCUUAAAGUGAAAAAUUUUAUUUUUAGCAAAAAUAAUUAAAUCAAAUACAAUUUUAUAUAUGUAUAUAAAUUAUGGGUAUUAUUAUAAUAUAAAAAUGUAUUUUUUAUAUAUAUUAAAAAGACAUCGAUAACUCGAUAAUUCGAUAGUUUUACUUGUACAAUUUAAGUUCCAUUUUUUUAUAUUUAGUUUCAUUUGUUUAUAUUAAAAUAUUCAUCGAUAUAUUUUUUAUAUAUUCCUAAAAUCGAAUUAUAUCGAUAUUUUAUGGAUGAUUAUAUAUAUAUAUAUAUUACAAAGUUGGACAUUUCGUGGAAUGGCGUGUGGCUAGAAGCGAUUGAGCAGCGCGUGGGCACAAUAUCUGAUUUUGUUAAAAUGGGGACAUCUGAAUUUUCUUCGUCGAUUCUGUUUCAAUUCGAAAAGUCUCUAUUUCUAAUAUUUUCUAUUUCAUUUUCUUUCACUCUCUCGUUUGUAUUUUAAUUUUAUAUGUUCAGGUGAUUUUCUUCUUUUCUCUCUUACAUAAAUUGCGUUUUCGGUGGUGGCUGCUCUCAGAUCUUUCCGAGAAAUCUCAGUAUCAAUCCAUAUAUAUAGAGAGGUAGAUCUGUGAAUCUGCAAAAAAACCAGAGAUCCGACAAUGGACAACGGAGACAUUGAAAACGCGGAAGACGAGUUCGGCGGGCAAAGCGGACGCAAAUACAGACCAGUCGUCUCGCAUGACCGCGCUGUUCUCCAAAUGUCCUCUUUGGAUUCCGGAUCUUCCUCUUCUCUCCCCGUCCCUCAAUCACCUUUCACGUAUGGUUUCUCUCUUUUUCUUUUCUUUUUAUUUCUCUCUCUACAUUGAUUUUCGGUUUGGUCUGAUCCUCCGUUUUGUUGCUGAGAAAACGGAGGAAGGAUAUUAGAAGGCAAAACGAAUUUGAAUAUCGGGUUCUUUUGUUGAGAAAACUUGGCUCCACUGAGGCGGAUAGGUUUUUCGGUUUUAUUGUUUCUUGAUUGAGAAAUCCCUCUAGGUCUGUGGAUUUGAAUUAGCCGGUUGAGAAAAUGCAUGUCGUGGAAAACUGAAGAACGAUAAGAAAAAUGAGGUUUUGAAUCUGCUUUAUUUAUCAUCCAGUUUGAAUUCAUCUUAUUUUUCUGUCAUUUUCGGGAAAUUGAGGAUAAAAGGAUGGUUAAUUAGAGUGCCGGGCCGGGGCGAUAGGCUCGCCUAGUUCUUUUUUUAUUUAUUUAUUUACUUUUUUAUUUUUUGUGUUCAUGAGACAAAAUUGUUUCACAUGUCUGAUUAGAUGGAUGUAGUUUGCACGGAUCAUGCCAGCAAUAUUGUAAAAUUCGAUUAGAUAUAGUAUUGCACACUAAAUAUAUACUUCAUGAUUGAAUUAAUAAACGCAGAUUCUUUUGGUAAGUUAUAAACAAAUUCAACUUGCAAAAGUAGAGGUGAAAUAGAGAUUUGGCCAGGAUCAAAUAGAAGGAGUAACAGUAGGAUGAAUUGAAUUUUGGUGCUAGGCUUACAAGUGUUAAAUUAGGUUUCAGGCUAAUGUAAGGGGAAGCUUAUUAACAUGAAUGACCUGUUCGUUUGAUGAUAUAGCAUGAAGAGACUUCAGUCUAGAAAGGUAUGGAGUUCAAAACUUCUUGGGGAUUUUAAGAAAUUCCCGGGCACUGUUACUUGGGCCAAAAAAAAAAAACAAAAAAAAAGAUCCCCAGGUUACAUAAGUGAAAUUAAGUAGUCCACCAUGCUGAUUCUUAACCCCAGCAACUGAAAAGGGAGACUGGUUAUAGAAAAUGGAACCAAAUGAAUUUUGAAAUUAAAAGCAGCCUGGUCAGAUGGAUUAAUUGUAAUUGUUGCAUCAAGAUCCAAUCUUUCUCCAACCUAUCAUCAUCAUCAUCAUCAUCAUCAUCAUCAUCAUUAUUAUUAUUUUUUGGGCUGCGCUCCAUGGUAGUGUAGGUAACAUUGGAGGUGAUAAGAAUACAUUGUUAUGUGCAUUCAAAUUGCACACACACAUGCCUUCUCGUCUUAGAGUGGUUAGGGGGUAUCUAAUGUUCCACAUUAUCAAAUCUACAGGGCAAGAAUCAAGAGGAGAAAACAAUUAGAGAAAUUUGUAUGCAUAGAUAUAUUUAUGUUUAUAAACAAUUCAUUUACAGCAUUGCAGAGAAGUUUCAUGAAAUGGAUAUUAUGAUUUAUAUAUUUGAAUUCUUUUAAGAGAAAUUAUGUAUGUCAUCUUUUGAGUAUUUAUAUGUUCUUCUUAUGCUAUGGCAGGAACCUUAAAAUAAGCAUGCAGGGAAACAUGAGUUCUGAUGCAAGAGAAGAGUCAUCUACUAAUCAUGAAGAACUCAAUGGUUCUGAAAGAGAAUCCAAAUUGGAAUUGUUCGGUUUUGACUCUCUUGUUAAUAUUCUAGGUCUUAAGAGGUAAUUGAUUGCUUUUUAUUGUUUAGACAGUUUCAAGUGUUGCAUUCUGAUCUUAAUAGAACCUUUUUUCACUUUACAUUUUAAUGUUAUUCCAGUAUGACAGGGGAGGCAAUUGCAGCUCCUUCGAGUCCUAGAGAUGGCGAGGAUGUUUCGAAUACACCUGGGCGUUCCAAGGUAUGCCAAUGAUUUUCAGCAUUUCACCAUUCUUCCCAUGAGUUUUCUUCUCCUGAUUUUCCAAAUGGAUUGGGUAAUACUGUUCAGAAUGUGUCAACAAUUUUUCAUGGUUGCAAUAAUCUACUAUGAUUUUCAUUAUUCUUGUUUUUAUUAUUUAAAGAUCAUUAUUAUGUUUGAGAGCAGAGGGGACAAUCGGAGAGGAGGAGAUAAGAAAAACAGAGAAUAACAAGAGAAAGGACCAGAGAAUAACAGAAAAUAAGGGUAAAGGGAUUACGGUCGUGUAGAGAAAUGGGCAUAUAGUAGGAUGAGGGAUCCGUAAAUAAACAUGAAAAAUGUUUGUAUGAUGUUUUAUUUUAUUUUUUCUUUUUUAUCAGAAUGUCUGUAUGGUUUUUUUUUUUGAUCAGAAAUGAAGAAGAUUAUAUUAAUAUAAGAACAAAUACAGGAGAGAAAAAAGAGACAAUAUAAAGAGAAAAAAACCAAGGGAAGGAUGAGAGGUCCUUCCUACACAAAUUAACCAAGGAAAAAACUCCCAACAAUAGAACUCUAAAAAUAAAGAGAAACCCCAUCAAUCUUCAAACUUUUGAAACACAAACCUCAAUCCAAUUGAGUUGUAGAAUGCUUAGAGGAACUCCUCUAAAAGCUUCAGUACAAGAAGCCCAUAGAGAAGAAUAAAACCGAAUCAAAUCCCAAACCAUCUCUUUCGUUCUCCCUUUAUCCUCAAAGAUCCUAUUGUUUCUUUCUUGCCACACCAUCCAAAUCAAAGUAAGGCAAACAAUUUUCCAAAGUGUCUUGCCUCUUAAUGAGUUCCCCAAGCCUUUAAAAGAAAUAACCAACAUGUCCUCAAGGCUCCUUGGAGGGACCCAAAUCAACCCUACUAGAUUGAACAACCUGUGCCAAAGUCCAAUGGUAACGGGACAAUGAAGAAAAAGGUGGUAAAUCGACUCUCCAUUUCCUUUGCAAAGAAUGCACCAUUGAGGACAGAGGGCUUUGUAGGGUCUUCUCAAUUGCAACUUGUCAUUAGUGUUUACCUUCCCAUGUGCUACUAACCAAGUGAGGCCUUAACCUUUGAAGGGACUUUUGAGCUCCAUAAGAACUUGGCCGGAAGGAACAUUAAAGGAUUUGAAACUUUUGACAAGGCACAGAAAAAAAAUUUCACUGAAAACAAGCCUGACAAAGACAAAGACCACGCUCUUGAGUCUGAUGAAGAAGGGGAAAAAAGCACAGAAUUAAGGGAGGACAUUAAUCUCUGAAGGAGAUCAAUUUCUGAAUCCGUUAGAUUGCGGCGAAAGUUAAAAUUCCAAGACAGUGGUAAGGAAUUGUUAAGGACAUUUGAGACAGUGAGGUUUUUCACAGAAAUAACUCUGUAAAGAUUAGCAAAUUGAGAGCACAAAGUUUGGUUUCCUCACCAAAGAUCUUCCCAAAACCGAAUUCUCUCCCCAUUGCCCACCACUAGGCGGAUAAAAGGGGAGAACUCCUGGAAAACUUGAGCAAUAGCCUUCCAAGGACAUCUGUGAGACCAUCUAACCACCGUGUUGGCAUCCCAUCCAUUAGGAUGUGUCCCAUAUAUACUCGCAAUAACCUUAUGCCAAAGACCGCUCCUUUCUCUAGGGAAUUUCCAGAGCCAUUUCCCUAAGAGGGCAAUAUUUCUCAUAGAAGUCUUCCCAAAGCCCAAACCUCCCAUCUUCUUUGGUUUACUAACAAUCUCCCAUCUGAUAAGGUGAUCUUUCUUCCCUUCCCCAGCCCCAGACCAAAGAAAAUCCCUUUGCAUCUUCUCAAUCUUUGAAGCUAUUGAUACUGGGAUUUUAAAGAGGGAGAGGAAGUAGCUAGGGAUGUGAGACAGACAAGACUGAAUUAAAGUAAUCCUCCCUCCCAAAGACAAAUAGGCCUUUUUCCACCCAUCCAGCCUCCUCGAAAUUCUCUCAACCACUGGAUCCCAAAAGCCUAUUGUCUUUGGGUUCCCUCCCAAAGGAAGGCCUAAAUAAGACAAAGGCCACUCUGACACUCUGCAAUCCAAAACCAAAGCCAAACUAGACAACAGUUCCUGCCUAGUGUUAAUACCCGAAAUGAUGCUUUUUUCUAAGUUGAUUUUUAAACCAGAUACUUGCCCAAAAACCAAAAGGAUAAUCUUGAGGUUUUGAAGAACAUAAAUUUGAAUAAAAGUAAAUAGAAGCACAAGAACCCUGAUUGGCGAUUAAAAGUCCUCUAUAAAAGACUAAAGUGAACUAGUGCCCUUAUAAGUCAAUCGAUCUACCAUAUUAAGAUUUGGGUGGCUAUCAAAGCUUAACCCUUAGCACUUUGAAAGGUCUCAUCUUGUUAUUUUGUUUGGGUGCUAGGAGCGAUUUAAUAUAAAGAAAUUGUGUAACUCUUAUUUUAUGCCUUUGUUUAAGUAUGGAAAGUUCUUGGUGGCUUUCUCAUUGUUUGAGGUGGAGUCGAGAUUAAGGGUAGCUUUUGGGACCGCUAGGAUGAGAUAUUGUAUGCUUUCUCCAAAUUAGUGGACUUUGGAUUAUCAUUGAAGCUGAACUGUUAGCGCUUUUGAAGAGCCUCACCCUAGCAGAUGGCUUUUGAAUUAGACACCUUUUAGUGGAAGGCAUUAGACGUCUUUUAAAGGAAGAAGAUUCUGUAAUGAUUAUUUCAUAAAUUUGUUUGGGAAGGGAAGGUUCUUGGAGGUUCUGUCAUUUAUUGUUGAAUGUAUAAUCCUUGGUUUUUCCAUUGGUUUAUUUGGUCCAGGGGUUGGGGGGUGUUAAUAUAAAGUGCAAAGUAUGCCCUUAAAAUGAAUAUAGUGCAUGUAAGUGAGCAUAUCCACCCAAUCGUUACAUAAGCUUCUUGUCAUUUAUCUAUUGUCUGAACGCAUCUUAUUGUUCCUUUGGGCUUGAAAAUUGACAAUGUAAUCAAAGCUUAUGCAUGCGGAUCUCUUUUUCCAUGAUGUGUAGAUACCUUUUCAUGUUUUUGACAUAUAUUUAUCAUGCAGGCUAAUGAUCUCAAAUUAGGGACAUUGAUGGGAGUAUUUGUGCCGUGCUUGCAAAACAUUUUAGGAAUUAUCUACUAUAUACGAUUUUCUUGGUAAAUCUCAUUUGCCUGAUGCUUUUUUGUUGAAAUUAAUUUCUUUUGUUUACAUUACUGUGCACAAGACAUUUGUACAAUACUUAAUAAUAAUAUUUAGCAAUACAAGAUUACAAGAUUAUUGCCGGUCAUGUAAUGACCUUAGAAGGCUGCAAAACUUAAGAGAGAUUGGUGUUUAUGAUCAUGGUAGUAGAAUUCAGAAAUUGAAAAUUUUAAUGAACUUGCAUGCUUAAGAUAGUUUUGAAUAUCAAAUUGAUUAAGAUGCUUUUAUAUCACAUCUAUUUUGAUUGAUUGGGUUUUAAUUGUAGUGUAAAAUAGCUGAGGGAUGAGUAGAAAGUGGUAGAAUAGGAUUUUGGGAGCAGGAUAAGACAGGGCUGUUGGAAUACUUUUUGUGGUUUGGCAAAAAAAAAAAAAAAGACAGAAUGAAGAAAGAAAGCAAGAAACAGUUCCUUGUGCUUCCGCCUUCUAAACAAAGAUUCAUAGCUGCAAAUUUUGAAUUCAAAUAUUAGUGCUUCAAAGGAGAGAUGAUUGCCCAUAAGCUGCAAAUUUGGUAUUCAAAUAUUAGUGCUUCAAAGGGGAGAUACCCUUUAUGGACAUAUAAAGCCUAAUAACAAUUAAUCCUUGCUGCUUAAAUGAAAUUCAGCUCAAUCAUCAGCUACAAUCUGGGUAAUAAGAGCCAAAAGGAGCUACCUUCAGGAGAAAGGUGCUAGCAGCUUACUUAAUUGUGUGAACAGUACUGCACUAUGGUAUCUGGGUAUUGUGGCUGCUGCAGUAGGUAAUGCCACUGAAACCCUUUUUUGGCAAGUCAGUACUUUAAAAAUUUCCAGCUUUAGAUAUAAAAUUAUAAUAUUAGGUAGUUUAACAGAUUGUGGAAUUGAAAACCGAACAAGCAAGUACCUAAAUAGCUAUUUUGUUGGACCUAAAUAGCUACUUGACUGUCAAGUGGCCUGUGAGCCUCGGUUUGGGUUUCUAAGGGGGGUGCGUCUUUCAUAUAAAAAAGGGAGUAUGCCUUUAAGCCAAGAUAUGAAUUCUGCCUCAACCUGCUAUGCUAAGGGGGAAGGGAGAAUUCUUGAAAUGAUUAUAUGCGUAUCAUGCUUUAUGGUAAAACACAAAUUUCUAGAUGGUGAAUAGACAAAAUUUCCCUAAAACAUGCUUAGCCAAACUGGGAAGUUUAGAUGUCCAGGUGACACCAAAGGGAAGGACAGAAUUAAAAGUAAAAAUAUAUUUAUGUGAACUCGGCUGGAUUUUUAAUUUAUUAUUUUUAUUGUUUUAUGUCUCUUUCUUUUGGCAUAUGAUUAAAGUCAACAUGAUAUCUUUUUUGCUAAACUGGCUUCAUUCUUUGUGAAAAUCACAGGAUUGUUGGUAUGGCAGGCAUUGGUCAGUCGCUUUUGCUGGUGUCCUUUUGUGGUUUGUGUACUUUCCUGACUUCGAUAUCAUUGAGUGCUAUCGCAACUAAUGGUGCAAUGAAGGUAGACUGGAUUCUUUAUUCUUAAGCCACUAUCAUUGCUUAUGAGAUGAUCUUUCUGUGAUUAUUUUCUUAAGCCUUAAUAAGAGAAAAGGCUUGUUUACAAUUCUAAUCAUUAUGUUUUGGAGGAAUGGUGCCUUUUUCUUAGAGACUAGUGUUGGAAAAUUUAUUGUACAAGCUCUUUCCCAUCUUCAUUCCAUUAAUAUGAUUUUCUUUAUUUUCCUAUCAAAAAUAAAAAAAAGUGUCCUUCACAAACUCUUUAUUGUUAGCUUCUUGGCUCUAAAACAUUUGUUGUAUACCAAUUAAAGAAAAUCUCAAUUGUCAGUUCCUUAUACACACUCUUGUCUUCUGUGAGGCAUCAUAGGAUCAAAUGAUUUAUUUAAGUUGGUUGCUUAUGUGGUUUGAAGCCAUUUUGAGUUUGAGAAUCAAUUUGGACAAAAGUGAGUUAAUUCCUUAGGGAGUAUGGAUAAUUUAGAUGACUUGGCCUUGGAGUUUGGUUGUAAGGUGGGUGCUGUCCUUUCUUCUUACUUGGUUCUUUCUUUGGGGCCCCUUUUAAUUUUCUGGUAGCUUAGGAUGGGUUGGAAGAGAGGUUCUACAAAAGGUUGGCUAUAUGAAAAAAACAAUACAUCUCAAAAGGAGAGAAACUUACUAUGAUUUGAAACACUCUUUCUAGUAUGUCUAUCUACUUCAUGUCUUUAUUUUCAUGCCGAGGCUGGUUAGAUUAAGAUUAGAGCAAAUCCAAAGGGAUAUUCUGUGGGGCGGUGGGGCUUUCGUGCAAAAACUACACUUAGUAAGGUAGAUGGAUGCCUGCUCAAGUAAAAGGAAGGGGGGUCUGUGUGUGAGGUGUCUUUUAGUGCUGAACAAAAUUUUGUUUUGUAAAUGGAGUUGGUGUUUUGUUGAAGAAAGGGGGCGCUUUAUAAACAAGUUAUCAAUGGAAAGUAUGGUGAAGAUGAAAAUUAGCAUUGUCGCGAGGUGAGGGAUGGACAUGGUGUUGGACUAUGGAAAGCGAUAAGAAGGGAGUGGGAUCUUUUGAGCGAUUUCUGCUGAAACUUCAACAUAAAAGGGUUUAUAGGGAUGAGGAAGAUAGGGUGGCUUUGGAAUGAGUUGAAAAACGGUAAGUUUUCGGUCAAAUCCCUCUAUUCUGCUUCGGAGCUGCUGACCCAGUUUUGUUUCUGAUGAGCAUCAUUUGCAGUUUGUGCGUGCCACCUAAGGUGGCCUUCCUUGCAUGGGAGGCGACGUGGGGGGACAACCUAACUUUGGAUUAGGUCUAGAGGAGGGGGUGUUUUUUGGCAAACAUAUGUUUUCUUUGCUAUAAUGAAGGUGAAUUCGUUGAUCACAUUCUUGUCCAUUGUGUAAAGACUAAGUUCUAUUGUAGUUGCUUUUUACUUUCUUUGGUGUGUCAUGGUUAGAGAGACUCCUUGGGUGACAUGCUUCCUUCUUUGGAAAAAAUCGCCAAAAGACUUGGAAGGUUGCCUCCUUAUGUAUCUUUUGGACAGUUUGGAAGGAAAUGAACAUGAUUGUUUUUGAUAAUGUGGAGCUUUCAAUCCAAAGAAUGAAAAACUCUUUUAUUUGUAAUUUGUGGUCUUGGUCUAGGGUGUUUGUAUAUGAGGGCCAAUCAAUUCCUUGGUUGGAAUCCCAUCUAUUUUGGCUUGUCUAAAUAUGCCUUAAAGUUUUUUUUUUUUUGGUAGGUAAAGAGAGUGCAUAUUUAAAAGAGAGCGUCGGAAAAAAUGCUCCAAAGUAUACAAGGAGUAUACAAUGGGCACCAAAAAUGACCCCAAAAAACAAAAAAACAACAAAAAAAACUGCACCCCUCAACAAGACCCUAUCCAGUCCAUAAAAGCUGCCAUAGAAUAGGGUUCAUGUGUUAUAAACAAAUUGGACCACACCCAAAAAUUACACAAAAAGUUAAGUUUAAUCCUACGAACAAUAUGUUUUUGGUUUUCAAAUGCCCUAUUAUUCAUUUUCUUCCAAAUUGUCCAAAAAAGGCACAAGGGAGUAGCUCGCCACACCUUCCUUUUCCUACCCACAAAAGCCCCGUGCUAACUUAUGAGUGUCUUUGCCAUUGAGGAAGGUAGAACCUUAAGGCACACCAAAAAGUGAAAAUAGAAGAUGCCAAACAACCCUUGUCUUGUUGCAAUGUAUAAGUGAUCAACUGACUCCUCUUUACAACAAAGGAAACAUCUAUUAGCUAUCGCCCACCCUUUCCUCUGGAUGUGAUCCAAAGUUAAAACCUUGUUCCAAGUGGCCUCUCAUGCCAAGACUCCCACUUUGGGCCAUACCCAAGAUUUCCAAAUAGCGUUUGAAGGGAAAACCAAUUAUCUUCCUGACUCCAAUUCUUUGUACAAUUCCUUAACAAAAAAUUUUCCAUUUCUCCCCUCUAUCCACACCAACUUAUCCUCCACAUCCUUGCACGCCCUCCACCCUUGCAACCUCAAGAGGAAUUGCUCCACGAUUAGCGAAUAGGCUCUAAAGUUAUCAAACAAUGCAGAAAGAGAUGAUCAAUAGAGUCUUCACUCCCCUUAUAUAAAACACACCAAUGAGGCCUAAGGGAUUUGAAAGGCUUUCUCAAUUGUAGCAUGUAGUUGGUAUUUACCUUCUUGUGUGCCAUUAACCAAGUAGAGACUUUGACCUUAGAUGAGACUUUAGAUUUCCAUAUAAAUUUGGUUUUUUUUUUUUUGGGGGGGGGGGGGGGGGGGGGGGGGGGGGGAAAAAAAAAAAAUUUGGGGGGUUAAAAAAACCCCCAAAAAAAAAGUUUCCCAAAAAAAAAUUUAAAAAAGGAAAAAACCCCCCCCCCCCCCCCCCGGGAAAAAAAAAAAAACCCCCCCCAAAAAAAAAAAACCACUCCCCCUUAAAGGCCCAAAAAGGGGAAACCCCAAAGGGGCCCAAAAAAAAAAAAAUCCCAAAAAAAAAAAAAGGACCCCAAAAAACCCAAAAGGGGAAAAUUUUAAACCGACCCCCCCCAAAAAAACAAAAAAAAAACCAAAAAGGGACCCCCCCCAAAAAAAAUUCCCCCCUCCCCCCCCCCCAAAAACAAGGAAAAUUAAAAAAACCCGGGAACCUUAAAAAAAAACCCCCCCAAGACCCCCCAAAGACACCUUAAAAAAAAAAGGGG
Molecule: long non-coding RNA, 70106 nt
Filed under: Vitis vinifera (wine grape)
Lineage: Eukaryota; Viridiplantae; Streptophyta; Magnoliopsida; Vitales; Vitaceae
Description: long non-coding RNA (VVIN_LNC003196)
Rfam family: Plant signal recognition particle RNA (bases 45-350)
Source: RNAcentral